UUCGUCAUGCUGCCUGGGAAGCACUAGAUUUUCUUUUUCCGGUUAGUAUUAUCAUUAGUAAUUAAAGCACUACAUUUUCUUUUUCCGGUUAGUAUUAUUAUUACUUAAUAAUUAGUAUUCAAACCAAAUUAUAACAAAUUGCAAGAGCUUUGUCCUCUCCUGCCCCAAAUGCCUUUUUUCACUUCAAAUAUUUUUAGGUCCCAUCAUUGUUAAAUACUUGACUUUUAUCAAAACCUUUUUAAGUUUUAUAGGUGGGAUUAUAUGACUAGUAAACUGUUCAAAUUUCCAAUAGAUGAAGGGAAACAUUGAUGGCUUUUUAAAAUGAUUUCAUAGAAUCUGCACACAGAUGAUGUGUUUUUCCCUUUUAGCUUUUUUAACUUAUUUCUGAAAGGGUGGAUUGUUUAUGUAUAUGCCGUAUAGUUCAUAGUUAAGAUAUUAAUAUAGCACUAUUGAUAAACAAGUGUAACAUCUUAACUCAUAAAUAAAUAUUAAUGUUGAUUUUCUGCUAUGAUGCAGGUUGGGCAAUACCCUCGGCAUCUCAUAAGUCUGUUCUUCAGGUUGCUCUAUCCAUGGUAUUGGCCAUCCUCUUGUUGGAACUUUGUGGUUUCGUGCAUUCAUGCUAUCUUUUACUCCUUACUGAGGUUGAUAUUUUCUACGUGGGAAAAAAUUGCCAAACCAAAAACCCAAUAAAUGUCCAUAUGUCCUGAGGAUAUUGGAGUUCAUGCAUAGAACCCGGGUCAUCUCUUGCCAACCGCACGAUCGCCUUCUCUGAUAUUUCUUUUUUCCACUCAAUGUGAUGUGUAUAAAGCAAGUUGUUAGUGCAAUGUAUAUUUUGUUCAGUUUGUUCACUAUGUCUUAGAAUAGGUUUACAAGUCCAAGUAAUAUAACGUGAAAAGACCACUGAAAACAACUAAACAAGGAACUGCGAUUCAUACACACUUUUCUAUAAUGCUGUGAGAGUAAGAUUGUGUAUGAUUUUAAGAUCGAACAUUUGUUACCUGCCAUAGCUACUGUCUGAUUUUGGUCUCAAUAGUUGUGAAUGACUUUAAUCUUCAGACCUUUUUCUCAUUACUGUUGAUUUUUCCCCACCGCGUUUCUUCUACCUAGAACGCAAUUACUGUCUACAAUUUAUGUUAUAAAUAUGUUUAAUUUAAAAUGGGCUAAUUAAUUAUCUAUAUGGAAGUGUUUUAAAGUUAAUUAAUUAAAGUAGCCUUUUCAUUUGGACUUUGAUUUAUCUGACCUUGAUUAGUUUGUACUACAGAGUAGUUCAUCUCAAGUUCAUGAAUAGAUCCUCUACGUCAUUUAUUCCGAAGAGUGUGAAUCCCAUCUGCUAUGCGUUUAAGUCAACUAUAGUGUCUUUUCAAUUGAGAAUUGCAAAGAGGCUAAAUAGGAUGUGUUAAAAGAGUUUUUCAAUUCACUUUUUUAUUUGCAUAAAUCCAGUAAAAUAUAUUUUCAGUAGUGUAUUUUCUGUAAAAAUACAGAAAUGUUCUAUGUUAAAUUAGAUAGAACUACAUAAACCCUAAUCUUAAAGUGUUGCAAGAGAGACUAUUCUCUAUGAUUUGGAAUCAUGCCUUCACAAGAGGGAAAAUAAAAAAAAGAAAACUAGCAUCUGUUGGAGAAAAAAACUAAGAAAACAAAAUCAGAGCAUUAAAUUACAGAUUGAAAUUGUUUGAUAAACUUGAUAGUCACCCUUUGUGCGCAUAACCCACUCGAAUGCGCCUGCCAUCUACGAUCUGAUAAAUUCAUCAUGAAGAACAUAACAAGAUUCAUAACAUACUAUCACUGUAAAUAAAAAUGAAAGCAAGAUUUAUGUGACCUUGAUUAGUAUUACAGACCGAAGAGAAUAACGAAUGAGAAGUGUGUGAAUCCCCUCUGCUAUGCGUUUAAGUCAGCUAUAGUGUCUCUUCAAGUGAGAGUUGCAAAGAGGCUAUCUAGGAUAUGUUAAAAGAGUUUUUCAAUUCACUUUUUUAUUUGCAUAAAUCCAGUAAAAUAUAUUUUCAGUAGUGUAUUUUCUGUUAAAAUACAGAAAUUUCCUAUGUUAAAUUAGAUAGAACUACAUAAACCUAGUUGCAAGAGAGAUUAUUCUCUAUGAUUUGGAAUCAUGCCUUCACAAGAGAGACUAAAAAAAAGUAAACUUGCAUCUGUUGGCAAAAAAAAUAAAAAAUACUACGAAAACAAAAUCAGAGUAUCAAAUUACAGAUUGAAAUUGUUUGAUAAGCUUGGCAGUCACCCUUUGUGCGCAUAACCCACUCGAAUGCGUCUGCCAUCUACUAUCUGAGAAAUUCAUCAUUAAGAACAUAACAAGAUUCAUAACAUAAUAUCACAGUGUAAAUAAAAAUGAAAGCAAAAUUUGUAGCAAAAGUGAAUUGAUAUCCAAUACCCAUUACCUUUCCGUGCAAUUCUUUGCGAGCUGUGGCAGCUGCAGUUUCAGAAUUGAACCUAACAAAUCCGUACUCUUUUGAUUCCCCAGUCUUGUGAUCACAUAUAACUUUAACUACGCAAAAACACUAAUUAGUUGCAACAUUACAAAUUUAGGGAUCUAAAACAUUUGAAAAAUUAUUGUUAGUUUUACCUUCAAUGAUUUCCCCAUGUCGUUCAAAUGUGUCUCUUAGGACCGUUUCAUUCGUGUUAUAGGAAAGCCCUUUGUUCCAAACAAAACCAAAAAUUAAAUUUGAAUAGCUGAAAUCAACUUCAACAAUAAAACUUAUAUUUAAAAAAAAAUGAAACGAGUUGGAGAAGAUGAAACCUGCGACGAACAAUUUGGUAGAUGAAUGAUGGCGCACGCGUAGAAACAAUUGAGGUAAGGGUAAAGCUGAACAUUGGAGAAGAAGAGUUCUAUUAUUCGCUAUGCGCAUAACUAUGAGUUCGCUUGAUAAUGAAAAUACUGCAUAAAAUGACUUUUUUUUCCUUCCUUACCUUUUUAUUUUUAUUUUUAAUUCCCCCUAUUCUGAAAUUAAAGCUAAUGGUUGGCCAAGCUAUUGAAGGUAGAUUUUUUUUUUUAAUUUAAAUAUAUUUUUAGUAUUAUUAAGAAUUCUAAUAAAUAAUUGAUACUGAUAAUGAAAAUAUAUCUUUCAUGUAAUGAAAGCAUAUAAAUCACGCAAAUUCACAAUGAUGACAACAUAAUAGAUACUGAUAAUGAAAAUAUAUGUUUCAGGUACUAUUAUAGAAUUGUAAUCCUUAUUCGUGAUUUCUGACGAUGUAUCACAAUUGGUUAAACAUUAUUAUCAAAUUAAAAUAUAUAUUCCAAGUAUAUAAUUGAAUUUAAUACUUUAUAAUAUUGUAAAAUUAAAAUAAUAAUAAUUAUAAAUCAAUUAUAAUUUAUCAUAUUUAAACAUAUUUUUCUGAAAAUAUGUGAUUAAAGAGUAUAUUUUAUACAUGUGAAAAAUUAUUUUUCACUAAUGUAAUUAAUUAAUUUAAUUUUUUUUUCUAUUUCUUAAAUAAAAAUAAUUAUAAUUAUAACAUUAUAAAAAAUAUAUACAAGAUACAUAGGAUGUGUUUGUUUCAAGUUUAGAAGUAACAUUCCUUGGAAUCUUAUUCCCAUCAUUAUUAUUACUUGGAAUAAUAUUCCUAUCCAAGUGUUUGGUAAAAACUAAAUUUCCUAUGAAUGUUUAUAAUAUUUAUUUAAUUUAAAAAUUAUAAAAAAUAAAAUAAAUAAAUAAAUGUGAGUAGCAGUGGGGAGUUGUAAUUAGUUGAAUUUUUUUCCCAUGGAAAUGUUGGAUUCCCACCCUUUAAACCUUGGAAUAAAAAUAAAAGAACCAUGUGAAAAUAAAGUUCCUGGGAAUAAAAUAUACUUUGGAAUAAUUUUUUAAAAAUUGAAUCAAACAUGAGAAUGUUGCAUUCCCAUAACAAUAUUCCCAGGAAUAUUUUUUAAAACUUUGAAACAAACACACUCAUAUUUGUGGUUAAAGAAUAAAAUUAAUGUCUUUAUUUCAUAUUGUCAACAUAAAAAUAAAAUGAAAACUUAUAAUCUACCGACUACUAUUUUUUCACACUUUAAAUUUUUAAAGCUAUUUUAUUUGAAAAUGAGUUAUUAAAAAAAUCGUGUAAGUGUAAAACUCAUACAAUGAAAAAAAGAUAGGGAUUGUGAUCCAUGGUUUGAAAUCACAAGUAGGGAUUGUAAUUUUAUAAUACUAUCGGGAAAAUAUAUUUUGAUUACUGGUAUCUACUAUUUCGUCUGCAUCGUGAAUUAAUGUGAUUUAUAUGUUUUCAUUACCUAAAAUAUAUGUUUUCAUUACCAGUAUCCACUAUUUAUUACAAUUAUUUAUAUGUUUAAUUAAUAUAAUUAUAAUUUUAUUCUUAAAACAAAUAUUUAAUUUACAUAAACAUUAUUAUAAAAAACUAUAAUUUAUAUUGUUUAAAUAAAAAAAUUAUUAUAAAAUUAUUUAUUAAUAAUACUAAAAAUGUAUUUAAAUUAAAAAAAAUCGUUCCUUCGUUAGCUCGGCCAAUCAUUGGCCGAGUCCAUACUACAAAAAUAUUUCUUUCAGCAACUCGUCCAUCCAUUGAACGAGUCAAUAUUACAAAAAUAUUUUUUUCAGCAACUCGUCCAUUCAUUGGACAAAUGGAUACUAAAAAAAUGGUAUUUUGAAAAUUUAAUUUCAGAAUAGGGUAUAUAAGGAAUACAAAAUCAAAAAAGGGAUAAGAAAGAAAAAAAAUGGCAUAAGAUCUUACAAACAACGCUUGAUAAUAUAAGUAUUGUUCAUCCAACCUAAGUUAUAAACAGAAAAAAAUGAGUUGUAGGGAUGGAUCUUAGGGCAAUGACAUGAGUGGUUGAGAUGCGGCAUCGUCAGAAAGGGUGGUAUAUUUGUAAGGACUUCAACUCAUAUUUAAAUAAUUUAUAUACUCAUUUUUUAUUUCAAUGGUGAAAAAGAGAUUUUUUUUUCUAAAAUAACUAACUUUUUCAAAUAAAAUAGGAAAACAAUUGAGGUAAGGGUAAAGCUGAAAAUAAUCAUCAGUUGCAAUAAUUUGAUAGUUAUUUAGGAAGAAGAUUAAAUGCAUAAUUUUAAAGUGCACAAAGUUAAGAAUACAUAAUUAUAAAAGUUUCUCUUAUCAACUUAAAGUCUAUGCUCUUAGUGAAUUUCCACUAUGCUUAGAUUCUUGUACAAGUCUUUAUAAUGAUCAUUUUACAACAUUCUAACACACACUUGAAGAAAGAACGUUACUUUCUCUUUUACAAUCACUUAUGACCACAACUUUGAUGACUAAGUUACAUACACAAUUUUGUAAAUGAAUUUGAAGAAGUUUGAUUCUACUUUUAAAAAAUACUAAAAAUCAAACCAAACCUAAUCAAAGGAGAUAUCAUCGGUUCGAGUAAUGUUUUGAUAGAAAAAGAUAUUUAUUUAGAUAAAAUAAUUAAAUAAAUAAAAAUUAAUUUUAUUUAUUUAUAAUUUAUAAAAGGAAAACUUUUAUUCUUAUAAAUCGUUAAGGAGAGAAUAGAUUGCUCAUAAUAAAACACAAAAUUAUUCAAAGUAAUAUCGUUGGAAAUAUUUCCAUGACCUAUGAAGACGUGAACGUCAUUGACAUGGGAUAAUUAGAGUGCAUAUAUAUUAAUGAAAGUAGAAACAAGAACAAAAUUCUAAGUAUACCUCAAUAUUAUUGAUAUGAAUUGGAAAAUAUUAUCUUAGUUACAAAGAGAAUAGGAAGAUGAGAAAAUAUAAAAUAACUAACAAAUCUACUAAGCAACAGAAAAUAACAGUUAACGUUUGCUAUUUCAAAGAAAGAAUGAAUUAAUGUUUUUAUAUUACUUUUAGUGCUUUUUCUGUUGUCGUUGUAGUGAUAUUUGAUCUUCCACAUGAAUUGCUAGCGGUAGGAAUAUGUCAUUGUAAACGUAUGCCGUUGUGGUUACACAAUUUCAACUAGUAGACUGCCUUAGGAAUUAUGCUGUUGUGGUUACACAAUUUCUACUAGUAGACUGCCCCCUGAUGUUUUAAUAUUGACUAAGAUUUAAGGUCAUUUUUCUUAUAAUAAUGAUUAACAUUUAAGAUUAUUAUUUUUAUUUAUAAAAAUGAUUUGGGGUAUUAGAUUUGAUCUAUAGGAAAAAAAAGUUAAAUUUGAAUUUUAUCUAUUAUUUGUUAUGAUAUUAUUUGUAUUUAUUUUUAUCAAACAAUUACGAGUUUGAAAGUAUGUGAGAUUAAAUUGAAAAUUUUCAAUAGUAAUUUUGUGCAAACACCGUUACAAGAAAAUAUGUACAGUAUAUGAAAUGAUUAUGAAUGUUUGUGCACAGAAAGGAUAUAGACAGACUUUAAAGACAAUAAAACUUGAAUUAAAGUAAAAGAAUUUUGCAAUAACCAACAUUAAAUGAAUGUUGUAAAUGACAAAAAGAAAAGAUGUUUCAAUUAUGGAAACAUAAAGAAAAUACAAUGUAAGAGAUGCAGACUCACAUAUCACUCACAAAUUGUUUCACUCUUUAGCUUGGGUACUCUAAUUCUAUAGAGAAAGUAUAUGAAAUUUGCGAUCUUGAUUACAACAUAUGAGACUGCUAUAUAUACUAAACGAAAAAUCUAUGUUUCCGAUAAUUUCCUCCUAAAGAAUCGACACGUCUUCAAAGACAUGUAACUUAUUCCUCUGAUGCAUUACCACGUCAUCAGUACUAAAAAUAAUCGUUUUUGACAGUUUCCCAAUGCAACAUUCAGUUGACUUUUUUUCUUAAAUGGAAAUUUCAAGCUAAUAUAUGUCUCCCCAAAACGUCACUUUCGAUCAUAUGGUCGGAUAGAAGAAAGGUGUUUUUUGGGUCCAUCGACACGGUUUACUUAGUCUACACACGUCAUCUCAAAGAAACAUCUCAUUAUUUAAUUAUUAUUAUUUGGUCAUUAUGACCACUUUACACCAAAACAUCACGUCACAGACGUGCGUACAAUUGAUCAUGAUCACUCUCUAUUUCCUAGAAGAUUAAUUAAAAAUGAAAUCAAGACAAACUUUUUUAAUUCAAUUUUUCAUCUUUCCCAAUUCCCUCUCAGCGACAUCUGUCGACUAAACCAUUUUCAUCCUUUGGGUAUUUAAGACGUUCCCCCUUAGCGUCCUCUUCUCUCUCACCAUUUCCAUUUUUUGAAACACAAUUAAAAAAAACCUUGAGAGUUUUUUUUUUUGCAGUUCUUUCUUCUUCUCCACUACGCUUCUCUUCAAGAAACUGUUGGAAUCAACAAUGGCACCCAAAGUUCAGUCACAUCCUCAUUUUGUUGUUGUCAUUGAUUGACCAAUCUACUUAAAUGACCUUACCUACAUUCCUGAAUCUCCCAUGGAGGAUAGAAGAAGAAACCUCUAGUAUCGUGCUUCUUUAAUCCCCUACUCCAUUGGUGGUACCGUUCAUGCGUUUAUGUGUCCUCUCCCCAGGCACAUCAAGAAACCCCACAUGUUGAAAUAUUUCUUCCUUAUUUUCCUUGAUUACGAACCCUUGGUGUUCGUGGAUGCACCUUUUGAUUUAAACUUCUUUAAGAAUAAGGUGUUCCAUUCUUUUCCUCUGAUUGAGGAUACUGAUUACAUCAAAUGGUUGGACAUGGUCCACGAUAAGAAGAUGCACUUUUUGAGGGAUUUGGGAAUUUUUGACCUAAUCCAAAUAUCAUGAGUUGCUCCUAAAUACAACUCUCACAUGCUCAUUGCAUUUAUGUGCUUAUAGGAUACAUCAACCAACAUGUUUCACCUUCCUUGUGGGAUGAUAACUGUCACACUCUUCUUAGACAUUGUUGCUAUCGUCAGUCUUCGACCAACUGGAGAGGCCUUUGUUCCUUCAACCAAGACAAAAAUAAAACUUGGUUUUACCUUCCAUAGAAAUGCUUACAGCUCCUUUAUCAAGGAUAACCAGGGUUCAACAGAUCAACAUAUGAUCUGGAACAUAUUUGCUUUCUUGACUUACUGGCUUUCCAGGAAUGUCUUAUACGCUCUAUUUAUUCAAAUGGCAAAGAAGUAAGUCCCUUUAGCCACCUAACUUCAUGAAGGGAGACAGAUCUUCCUUAGUAGGUUAAUUUUGUGUGGUAUGUACGGAUCUAUAGGGUUGGCCUCCGAAGACUUGAAGAACAAGACGAAUUAUGUUAGCCUUUAGAUAGGUAGCCAUAUAUGGCUUCUUUAAUUAUUUCUCAAUGCCACUUUCUAACCUUCCUUCAAGACUAGAGUGCAUCCUAGCUCAAAGGUGGGAUUCAAUGGUCAAAGGCUUGCAAAACUUACUCCCGGUGAUGGGAAGGUUGCGUCUUUGGAGGUUUCCGAGAGUUACUUCCAAAUGUUUCAUAGGUGUGUAGCACCUCAAAUUUGCACCCUACCUUUUGUACAUACAUUCUCAUAUUAGGUCAUUAAAAUAACAAAGCCCAUUGCAUAACAUUGCAUAGCCAUUUGCCCAAGUGCAAGUUCUUCAGAAGAAUUAGGUCAAACUGGUCAGGAGAUCAGGUCAAACAAGCAAGCAUGUGCCAUUUUCAUUGGGACAAAGCCCUAGAGUUGAUUUAUCAAGUUCAUAUGGUCUAAGGAUCAUUUUGAAGUGAUUUGGCCAAAGGUUGGAUGAUCAAAGCUCAAUAGUCAAGCUGAAUUUCUUCAGAAACCCUAGAAAGUCAACUGUGGUCAACUGUGCCUGAUUUUAUGGAUUGGAAGGGGUGAGAUGGUUUGAAAGGCCUCAUUCAUGUCUAUAUAAGUCUCAUUUGACAUAUCAAAGACCAAGGUUGAAGAUUUGGAGGUCAGACAAGAAGUUUCCAAAAAUAGCAGGUGACCUGUAAUUUCAACUGCCCAAAAUGGAAAGUUUUUCUCCUCAAAAUUACUUCAUCAUACAAGCUUCAAAUGGAAUUUUGUCCAACAUGAAAGUUGAAUAUCUUGAUCUCAUCAUUCCAAAAAGUCCAAGAACUUGAAUUCCAUGUGUGGUUGCAAGUAUGGUCCAUUCAUUUUCAGAAAAUGCUCAAAUUCAAGUGCAUAACUUUCACAUGAAAGGCCAAAUUGGUUGAUUUUCUUUUGAGCAACCCCAUUUCAUAUGGACUUUACAUGUGCAUCUUCAUUUCAUCAAAAAUUAUCAUAGCAAAAUGGCAUUUUUUGUGAAUUCAUUUGGCAUUUUUUGGUGUGAAAUAGUGAUUUCAAAAUUACAAGCCAUAUGCACUUGGGACCUUUUCAUACACAUCACAAAUAUCAUUUAGAACUUGUGUGAACUGGUUUUGGACUGAUACAUGGACUGCAUAAGAAAAAGGGCAUUUUGGCCAAAGUCAUGAAAAUGUGCUACACUAAUCAUUCCAAUUUGCUUAAUUGAGAUAAAUUUUGGAUUAGCAUGAGGUAUAAAGAGAUAAUCAUAACUGUUUCUCAUAUCACAUCUCAUUUUUUCAAGAUCCAAAAGAAAAUCUCAAAAUUCUCUCACUUUUCUCCACUUUCACAUACACUAUUUUUCAUCAUUUCAUCAAGAAUUCAUCAUUCUUUUGCUUUCUUUCGUACUAAUCAUCACUUGCAGGUAGAAUAGAAGAUUUGUUGAAAGCCAAAACUUGGAAAAAACUGGAAAAUCGUGGCUGUUGCAUUUUGAAGUUCCACAUGGCAUUUGAAGAUUCAAGCUGAUCCAGGAGGUUCUGAGCUAAAGCAUCGGUUACAUCCACUCCUACAUCAUCAUACUGUUUCUGUUUUGGCAUUAGAGAGCUAAAUCCACCAAAUUCCACAGCUGCCAUCACAAAGGUUGGAAUUCGAUUCUUACCAUUCUCAAAAUCAUGAUGUGGUUCUUGUAGAUGUAGAUCAUAGAGCGUAGUGCAAGUCGUAGAUUGAAAUCCAUUAAGAUUUGAGAGAGAAAUCUUGAUUUGAUUUUUGAUGUGAAACCUAUUCUGGAUCGAUCCGUUAUGUACAUUAGGAAUUAGGAAAUUUCAUGUGGAUUGUGAUUGUGCUAGCUUAGACGGUUCCAACGGUGUAUGAUUUGUUGAUUUGGUUGCAAUUUGUUCAUGUGUGAUUUCUGGAAUUUUCUUGAUGAAUAUGAGGAGGAACAACUCAAGAACACGCGUUUGAUCCAUUUUUCUGUGUUUCCAUUUGAAUUUCGUGUUUGCCGUGAGAAGAGCCAAUAGCGUGCUGCCAUGCAGUUUAAUGAAACUGCAGCGUUUGAUCCCUGGUCCAGUAAUUACGAAAAUGCCACGCGGUUCAAUUAAAUUCAUUUUAAAUGUUAAAUAAAUUUCAUUUCAUCAAUAAACUUCAAAAAAUCAUAAUUAAAUCAUUUUUUAUCCAAAUUGAGUGGGAAUUUUUGUGUUGAUCUCCAAAAUUUCAUCUAGUUUUUUUAGGUAAUGAUAGUCAAGUUGUGCUGGUGAAUUUUUUGACUUUGCUAAUGUCUUUGAUCAUGUAUGCAUUGAUGUAUGUUUCACCAUUUCCUUCAUAAAAUAAUGAUGCUUGCUCAAAAUGAAUAAAAAUUUCACAUGCCUUGUUAUUGACUCAUUCCUGGUGAUUUUGAUGUAUAAUUUGCUGUUUUUGAGUUUAUGGUUUGAAGAUAUGAUGUGCCAUAGUUGAGUGUGACAAUGUGUGUCACACUAUGUUAUGUUGUGUUCAUGAAUUUUGUUGCCAUGUUAUGCUUGCCAAUUGCUCUCAAUUUUGCAUGUGAUAUAUGUAUAUGUCUAGUUUUGCCAUGAUUUUGUAGGAUUGUUGAUCCAUUUCCUAUUUGAUUGGGAUUUUUGCUUGCUGUUUAGACAUUUUAGGGUUUUCUUGAGUGAUGCCUUCCAUGCCUUGUGAAAUUGUCAACCUUAUCAUAUGAAGAUGAAUUUUGAUGGAGUGAUUCUUAACAUGUUCCAUGUCAUUUGGUUUUGGUCUCAUUCAUUUCUCAUGUUUUGGCACUGUUUUACAUUGCUUGAAGUGAUGCUUAUUUGCUAUCAUGUAUUGAGCUUGCUUGGAUUUCUGUUGACUUUAUGAUUUUCAUUGGCCUACUUCCCUUUGUCCAAUGAGCUGAAAUUUGGUAUGCUUAACAUGUUAUGGAUGCUGUGUGAUCUUGAUUUUUUUGAGAAUUUAUUGAACUGUUUUGAUGUGGAUUUGAUUGUGCUCAUUCUGUUUGGUCCUUUGAGGUUCCAAUUUGCAUGUCUUGUGCUAUUUUGCUCAUGAAAUGAUAAUGAUGAAUGAUAUGAACAGGAAACCAAUUGUAUUCUCCUCUUAAUUGAUUUAUCUUGGUUUUGAUCAUUUUUCACUUGCUGUUUUGGAUUUUUCAUUUCAUUUUGGCCCUAGUCUUGGACUAGUGGUUUGUGAUCUCACUUUUGAGUUGUGUUUCAGGUUAAUAGCACAAAUGGCCUAUGCUUAAUGAUGUGCUUCCAUUGGAGUUGACUUGUGACUUGUAUAUAGCUAAUUUUGACUUUGUUUUGCAGGGUUUGAUAUUUGGGUUUGAGCCUUAAUGGCUUGCACUUUGGUGCAUUGGCUUGUGUUUGUCUGUGUAUAGCUAAUUGUGAACCAUUUGUUGUUUAAUUCUGUGAUUGGUAUACUGAUUGUAUUUGAUUGAUUUCAGGUACAUUAGUUGCUAAUAUUGCUUUGCUUUGCUUGAUAAGCAAUUUGCACUGAGGUAUAACAUUCUUGUCUCCAUGUAGUCUGGAAGACCUGGCCUGUUACUUGGCCAGGCACCUGUCUGAAGUCCUCCUUAAGAGGCGAUGUUUGUGCCUGUUUACUUUUUGUCCCCAAGCAGGAAAAGUCCUUGAUUAAGGCAAUUGGAGGAUAAAAGAGAUAAGCAAUCUAUCUCCCGCUAGUCUGUUGAGUCAUCCCUUUGUUCACACCACUGUGUUGAUGCAUUGGGAUACAAACCCAAGAUCUUGUACAGUUGUACAGUUGUGUCAGAGUCUUAAGUGUAGAAGGGUUCCCACUUUCUGAACCCACGCUCCUUUGUCUGAAGCUCUCCCUGACCAGGGAUAAGAGCUGUGAAGUCUUAUCUUCACUCUCCUUUCAUCAGCUUCACCUUGGCUCUCAAUGUCAAGGUUAAGAGCUAACACCACCCCUAUACAAAUGACUUGCUCUUGCAGUCUUACCCUUUGAUUGAGCCCCCUUUGUGUGCAUAUAGUGUGUGCUACUUGUGAAUGCUUGAUUUGCUGUUUACUUGUGUUGAAUAGGAUAGGCUUGCUUCCUGUGCAAGUUAGCUAGAAACCUUGACUUAGGGACAUUCUGCAGAAACAUCUAGGCUCGAGUUGUCCCUAGUUAUGUCUCCUCUGUUAUCUGGUAGGCUAUCUUGUGUCCCUUCAUAGGGGAACUACGUCGCCCUGAUCCUCAUACAGAUGAGGUAACGUAGCAGAAGAGAGCAGAUCUCUUCCGGCGCUGUGCUUUGUUUUGUGUUGUUGUGUGCUUGAAGCUGAUGUAAGUCCAUCGAGUGCGUUCGGUUCCAGUGUGGGUUGUUUGGUUCGGAUCUGAUGUAAGCCAGUGUUGGCAAUUCGCGCUCCCGUUGCCUUCUUGUGUGUGUUUUGGUUCGGAUGCUGACGUAAGUCACAAUAUUGCAUCAAGGCUCCACGUUUUGCCUUGCCUGUGUUUGUUGUGUACGUGUUAGUCGAGCUAUCGGAUGCUCUGAUUCUCCUCUUCAAAGGAGAUACUAAAUGUGCAUCAGGAUGCGACAUCCUAGCGAGCAUGUGUCUUUCCCCAUCCGAACUCUUUGACUCUGAUGUCUAAUGCCUGAGAUAGACUAAGUAGCCCAAGGAAUUGCGAUAUCCCUGCCGAGUCUGUCUUGUUUUCUCUUGUGUCUCUUUCAGCAUUUUUGUGGUGUCGGGUGAGCAGCUGUUUUAGCAACCAUUUUCCCUUCUUAUUGGCGGGAUUCCCGCCGAGUACGACGGGAUGCGUAGGGUGACUAAUACCUUUCCCUUCGCAUAAACCGACUCCCGCGAUCCAUUCCUUCUUGGUCGCGAGACCAUGCUUUUUCCAGGUUUACUCUGAGCGUUUCCUUUCCCUCUUUUGGGAUAAAUAACGCACGGUGGCGGCUCUGUUGUUCUUGUUUUCCCGCCGGUUUUUCGCGUAAUGCGACAAGGUACAAUACAUUGAAUUCGAUUAUGGCAUCAUUUUUCAAUUGACAAUGUGGUGCCAAAUGGUUCAGGAAACCAAGAUAUUUGUGUUAUCUUUGUUGAUGAAUUGUGAGGCUCACCGUGAAGCUUUGCAGAAAGUCUUAGAACAAUGUUGUACCCCAAAAUUUACCUUAUUCUUUUUUGACCUUAUUGGCUUAUGUUUCAUCAUCAUAUACAUUAAUGCAUAUCAUUAGUUCUAUGUUUUUGAGACCAGGACAUCUCUCUUGUGACUUUCUUCAAGCUUUAGAAGGAAAAGUUGUGACAAUCAAUGAAAAGGAGGUUGAGCCAUUAUCAACUUCAUGAUAAUUCAAGCUACAAGGGUUUUCUUAUACCAUAAGGCGUCUCAAAUGGUCCAUUACUUCAUCAGUUGAUUGAGAAUUGUAAGAGAAUGGAAGUUAAUCACAUUAUCCUAUCUUUUGGCCCUUGAGCUAGGAAUGUUGAUUAUCUUAGUAUAUGGCAUACCCAUGGACCACUUUUGAAUCAUCUUCAUCAUAUUAUCAUACAAGACAUCAUUGUUCCAAAGUUUUUCCACUUUCCCUAGAAGAAUCAAAGUUUUGAAGAUGUGCACUCCUAUCUUAUCACUUUUGACUGAAAUUAGGGUUUGUGAUAAAAUCAAUUUAUUUAUGGCUUUUCGAGCAAGACUUAAUUCCAUGGUAUUCUAUGUGUCCCUAAGUGUCUGUGUGUAGAAGAUUGGUCAUCAAUUCCAUUCAUAACAGGUUUAAUUGCUCAGUUGAUUAUUGGUUUGAUUAAAUUAAGGAAAAGUCAACUAGGCAGAUGAAAAAGUCAACUUUUGACUUUUUUUGGUCAACUUUGUGUUCCACAAGUAAAAUAUGGUCUAUGGUUGGAAUUUUGUCAAGAAAAAGUCAAGAGAUUUAUCAAAAAUCAAGAAUUUGUGGAAAGUUGCUUAAAUUGGAAAUUAGGGUUUCGAAACUUACUAUUUUUAGCAAGUUUGGUGUUAAUAAGCAGCUACUUUCAUCACCACUUUUCUCCUUGAUCAAGACACCAAAUCAAGUUGACCUUAACAUGAAUUUUGUUCUCCUUUCUCCAAGAUUUAAGGAGGUACCAAUAUUGAAGCAUUUAUAUCAUCAUAACUUAAGAUAUGGUCGUUGAAAAUGGAGUAUUUCAAAUUCAUUCAUUUGUCCAAAGACUAUAAAAAUUUCUAAGUAUCCUAGGUCAGGAUUCCCAAGCAUGUUCAUGGCAGUUUUUCAGGACCUUAGAGGCUCCAUCUCAAAUUGUUUCCAACAUGUAAGAUUGAGUAUUAAGUCUCCUCUUUCCAUUGAGCCCAAGAUCAAGUCAUUUGGAUAGUCACAACUCAAGAUAUCACUAUCACAAGUCAUGACUUUGGAUUGGUUGAUUGGCCCCUACACUUAGUGAAAAUUUUCUAAGUAUUUGGUCAUUCCCAGCCACCUACUUCAUGUCCCAUUUUCACAAGGUUACAAGUUUCAUUUGGAUUCGACCUCAACAUGAAAGUUGUAAGGCAUUAUCUCCUCUCCACUUUUGCUUCAAACAUUUUCUUAUUUUGUAGCCUGAGGAACAAGUUAUGGACAUGGCAAGAUAGGUCCUCAGAUUGACCUACAAUUGGCACUUUGACAUGCAGUUUCAAGCAUCCGUCUUUGCGCCCACUUUUAAUGGACUUCAAGGCUUUGUUUCAAUUCUCUUCCAACAUGAAAUUUGUUCUUCUCAUUGCCCUCUUUCCAAAAAGCUUUAGUCUGUUCCAUUUAGUCAAAGAACCAUGGAUUUGUGAUGGCUUGAACAUAUCCGACCCUUAAUUUCAUUUACCAUGUUUAUCUUUGGUUUUGCGCAUGUUACCAUCAUCUGCUCACAGAAUAUCCAUUUCACACAUUAAUUACACCUCAUUCCUUGCUUCUUUUGGCCAAGCACCAUGCCUUUCCAUGCAUGUGUACCAUGCAUCAAAGUUACCAAAUAGGGAAAAUGUUCCCUUUGUCCAAACUUUCUCCAUCCACUCUCUCUCCCAAGCCACGAGUUCUGCCUCUUUCCCACUCUAUUUCAACUCCUUAAAAUGACAAAAAAAACUCACCUCAUUGCCAUAAAAAAUGCAGGAUGCACACCUCACACUCUCUCAUUCUGAUUUUGUCCAAACUUGGAAUUACAACUUUGCCCAAGUAUGAUGACCCAUUCUACCCUUACUUAAGAGUCAUAUAUAAGGUUCAUUUCUUCUAUAACCUUAUAGAGGACGUUGGUUAGAGGCUAAACAGAAAGAGAACAAAUCAAAACUCUCUCUAUUUUCUCUACCUUUCUUCCAUUGUUGAAGUUGCUUAAGGGUUUUAUCUAGCUCAUCACUGCUCCUCAUAUUCCUACCGAUCUUGUCAUCUUAUUUCUCCAAGAGUCCAAGGUGCAGUGGACACCCUCCACUAGGAAAGUUCCCCUAUUUUAUUCUUCUUCAUGCUUAGUCAUUCACCAUGUUUAGAAGCAUGCAUAUGCAUUUGGAAGAUCUACUCUUGAGUAUAUCAUGGAGCUAGGCUCACAUUUUUACUUAUAGCUUUGAAAUGAUUUUGCUUAAACAUGCUUGGAACCGUGUGUUCUUGCCCAUAUUUCUCCAUGCUCCUUUGUUCUUUUUUAAAAUCUAAAGAUGUCAUGUUGUUCUACUAAUUGCGUACUUUAAUUUUGAUUAAAAUUUCAUUCAAUUUGGUGGAGAGGUGAGAAAGUUAUUUGAGGUAGAAGUGAGAUUAUUGGAGUCGGGUUUAGGGCUCAUGGUCUCACUUUCGUACAUGCCUGAGGUUGAAGAUGGAGAUGUGGCAGGAUUUGGUUGCCUAUUGUGGUGUUUUGUCCGUUUGUGUUUUAAUGAAAUAUGAUAGGUUCAUGAAUGUUACACAUGAUAAAACGUGACAAUAUGUAACACCUCAAAAUUUGCCCUCCUCUCUUGGGACUAGCUUAGCAUGUUGCAUUUCAUUUUGUAGGUCAUUAGGCAUGGCAUAUUUGCAUAUCAUGUGGCCACAACAAGCAAGUCAUCCUCCAGUGAUCAAACCAACAUCACUAGCUAAAGAUUAUUUUGAAUCCAUAACUAACUUGAUCGUCCGAUACUUUGUAGGUACCACACCUUUGCUAUGAUCAUGUCAGUCUUGAGGCCCUUAGAGGUAAUGUUAUUAUGUUUGCCUCUUUUAAUUUGGUUUGAUUUGUUUGUGCUCAACAAAUUGUUCAGGUUCAUUCGUUGAUUUCGUUUAUUAAUAUGUACAAGUUUUAUAAAAACGUGAAGCCUUUUCUUGACUUGAACAUUUUUUCAGAUAUGAUUCAGGUUUUUUAUUUUUUCUGAAUUUAUAGUAAUUUGUGACCUUUUCCAUGAGAUAUAGAAAGUGAUGCAGGGAACCUUUGAUUUGGAAGCAUAAUUCGGUAUGCACCCCAGCUAUUUUUCAUAUAGAGUUUCAUGCAUUACAUUAGAUUAAAUCACAUAAAUUUGUUAAUUAAUUUGCAUAUUGUUUAUAAUUCAUUUCAGAUCCUAGUAAUUUUCAAUUAUGACUACCAAAAUCUUUUUAUUGGGACUUUAGGUAAAAAGUCAUCCUGCAUAUGUUCUGAUUUGUACAAAUUUGCUGAAGUGGUUUUCCUUCAAAUGUGUUGCAGGGAUUUGUCAUCGUCUCAGUUUUAUUCGAUACAACAUCUUGCCCUCCUCAAAUAUGUAACACCUCAAAAUUUGCCCUCCUCUCUUGGGACUAGCUUAGCAUGUUGCAUUUCAUUUUGUAGGUCAUUAGGCAUGGCAUAUUUGCAUAUCAUGUGGCCACAACAAGCAAGUCAUCCUCCUAAGUCUUGGUCAGAAGAUAAAGAGGUUGAUAUAUUCAAGCCUAAGGGUUUCAUUGAAUGAAAUUGAUCACUAGCCAUCUGAGGGUUUGUGAUUCAAAUUAGGGUUUCUUGAUUCCUCAAGGGGGUUGAGCUUUGUCUUGGUAGCAAGGGUACAUCAUCAUCAUCAUGGUUUUGUCAUCACCAAGAGAUUCAUUAUGCUUGAUCAGAUACCUUGAGAUUAGGGUUUUGACCUCUGGUCAACCCUAAUCAUCUGGAUGGUGCCAAUCAGGGCUUGUCAAGGAGAUGAGGGUUUCAAUGGAUAUGGGGAUCAUCAUAUGGUUUUAUUGAGCUUAUGGAAGCUAGGGUUUCAUCAUUGAGCCAUUUCAUCAGGAGUUUGGAGCUCAAGUUGAUCUAUGCACAGCCAAUUCAUCUAUUAGUCAGAAAAAGUCAACCAAAGGUCAACUGAUGGAUUUGGAGGUGGGAGAGGGUUAGAGACACUUCAUUCAUGUCCAAACAAGUUUCAUUUGACAUUUCAAACAUCAAGAAUGAAGAAAAUAAAGUCAGAUGAAAACUUUCCAAAAAUAGAAAGUGACUUGUAAUUCAAAAUUGCCAAAAAUGGUAAGGUUUUCUCCUUAAAAUUACAUGUCCAAAAAUGCUUCAAAUGAAAUUUUUUUCAACAUGAAAGUUGUAGAUCUUGCUCUCACCUUUCCAAAAAGUCCAAGAACAUGAAUUUCUCAUUUGUGGUUGGCAAGUUAUGGAUUGAUCAUUAUCAAGAAAAGUUGAAUUUCAAAGGUGCAUAACUUUCACAUCACAAGGCCAAAUGGAGUGAGACUUUUUGGAGCAAAUUUCUUUUGAUGUCCUCUAUCCAAUUCAAGCAUUACAUUUCAUGAAAACUCAUCACACAAAAAGUGCAUUUUUCAAGUGAACUUAAUUUGAAUUUGGAGGGAAAAAGGUGAUUUUGAAAAAUAAGCAUGAUUUUCACAUAAUUCCACUUGCAUUUGCUUCUAAACAUCAUUUCCAAGUGAUCCAAAACCAGAAAUUGGUACUGUUACAUUGAAUCACAAGGAAGGGUGAAUUGGCCAAUUUUGCAAUUUAGCAUAAAACUUGAAUUUACUAAACAUCUUGUAUUUUGGCUAAUCAUGAUGUAGCAACAUCAUUACCAUCACAUAUAUAAGCUAAAUCACAUCUGUUUCAGUGCUAAUCAUAACAGAAUUGAGAUCUAGAUCUAGAAAUCCCAAAAUUCUUCAAUUUCUUCUCUCACUUUUCUUCAAAAAUCUCCACAAACCUUGCAUUGAUCUUCAUGUAUCCUUCAUCCAUGAGCAUUUUGGAAGCUAAUUGAAGCAGGAUCUCAUCAUUUUCAAGCCAAUUCGAGGACUGUUACAAGAGUGUUCAACAAUGGCAAAUGGAGAUUUCAUCGUGUUCAAAGCACUGUUGAGCUAAAGCCUGCAUUCAUUCAUCUUCCACAUCAUCAUAGAUCAUCUGUUUUGCACUUCCAUGGCCUGAAACACGCGAAUCAACUUCUGCCAAUUCUUGAAGGUGAGUUUUCGACUUUGAUAAUUCAUGCAAUUGAUAUAUGCUUUAGAUAGAUCUUUGAGAGUAGGUCAUUCUGCAAGUUGAAUCACUGAAUUUGGUUGAGAAACGAGGAAGUUACAUUGAUUGGAAGUUUCAUAUGUGAAAAUGUUUUUCAUCGAAUCUCUUGAUUUAGGUUGAAUUAGGUUAAGAUGAUGUUAGAUUGUUAAUGUGCAUUAGAAGACCUUUCCAAUGAUGUGCGGUUUGUUGAUUUUGGUGACAAAAUGUUCAUGAGUGUAUGAAUGAUGAAGAACAUGGAUGAAUGUGUGAUGAACUCGUUUCCAGGCGUGCUUUGAUCUUGCUGAUUUCCUUUUGCAUGCGUUUUAGAUGUUUUUGUGCCAUGCAGCCAAUAGCGCUAGGACACCUCACUUAAUGAAACGAUGCGUUUCAUUAAGUGGCGCGCUGAUUUGAAAUUGGACCUGCUUCGAUCCUUGGCGCGGCUAGUGUUCCAUUUUGCCUUUUGUUUUUUUCCACCAUAUGCUUCCAUGUUCAUGUGCUUGUUUCUAUGUGUUUUUAUUUUUUUAUGCCAUUCCAAAAUUCAUAACUCCCAAACCAUUAAUCCAAUUGACAUGAGAUUUUUUGUGCCAUGAUCCUUGUAAUCUCUACUAUUUUUUGAUUAUUUUUGCAAAAAUUGUGCACGUGUGGUUUUCUGAAUGGCCUAGGGUUUGUUCAUAUGUGUUCUUUCAUGCACCUUGCUUGAUGUUUUGAUUGUGAAAUGAUGAUGCUUGAUCCAAAAUUCUUGAAAUUUUGCAUGUGUAAUCUAGACACUUCAAUGAACAUUUUGGCUUUGAGUUUGUGAUUUUAUCAUUCCUGGUUUGUGAGAUAUGAGCUGUUGAAUCUAGGUGUGACAAUUUGUGUCACACCAUUUCUUGUCUAAAUUCCUGAUUUUAUUUUCCAUGCCAUAUGAACUUGAAAUGAGCUGAAUUUUUGCAUGUUGAUACAUCUGGAUGUUAAGUUUACUUGUGAAUUUUUGUGGAUUUUUUGAGUGCAUUUCCAAUUUGUUUGAGAAUUUCCUUUCUGUUUGACCAAUUGUGGACCUUUUGUGAGUCAUGUUCUUAAAUGUUUUGUGAAAUUCUUGAUAUGUAUUGGAUGUACUUGAAAUUUUGUGGAGUGAUUCUAGACAUCUUAAAGUUUGUCAUGGCUUUGGUUUGAUUCAUUUAUCUUGUGCCAAUUCUGUUUUGUGCUUGCUUGAAGUUUAUGCAUGAUUUUAGGCCUUGUAUGAGCUUGUUUUUGCCUUGCCUUGACUUAGGGAUUUUAUUUGACUUGCUUCCCAUUGUCCAAUUGACUUGAAAUUUGGUAUGAUGAUUAUGUUAUGAAUUCUGUUUAGCCAUGAAUUUUCUUGAGAUUUAUUGAAUUACUUUUGAUUGAAUGUGGAUUGAUUCAUUCUGUUUGGUCCAAUGAGCUUUGAAAUUGCAUGUUUUGCCUUAAAUGCCUCAUGAAAUGAAAUUGGUGAAUGAUAUGAAUGUGAGACCACUUGGAUUUGUUUCUAAAUUGAUUGAACUUGAUUUUUGAUAAUUUUCAUGUUCUAUUUUGUAUUAUUGGUACCCCUUUGACCCUAGGUUUUGGCCUAGGGGUUUGCUUCUCAUGUUUGAAUUGUAUUUUCAGGACAAAAGGCAUAUAGCAUGGAGGAAUUAAUUCAGUUGGCUUGAGUUGCUUGCUUGAUUGAUGUUGAUUAACAUAAAGUUUGUUUUGUAGGUGGUUUUUAAGUUAUUUGUGAUGAGCAUUGGCUUAUAGCUUUCUGAUGCAUGCUUAUGUAAAGUUAACUGUGACCAUUAGCCUGUCUGUUUGACUGUUGGAGUUGUGUACUGAUCAUGUUAGAUUGAUUAGGUACAUUAGUUGCUAUAGUUCAUUGUGAACUUGCUUUUUCUGUUGCUUGGUUGCUUAACCAGUUGAGGUAUAGCAUCACUAACUCCAUGUAGUCUGGAAGACCUGGCCUGUUACUUGGCCAGACACCUGUCUGAAGUCCUCCUUAAGAGGCAAUGCUUGUGAUUGUUUAUUUUUGUCCCCAAGCAGGAAAAGAACUUUGAUAAGGCAAUUGGCAGAACACAAGAGAUGUGCAAUCCAUCUCCUGCUAUUCUUGUUGAGUCAUCCCUCUGCUCACACAACUGGUGUUGAUGCAUUGUGGAUAUUAACCUAAGAUCCUUGUACAAUUGUACAGUUGAGUCAGAGUCAUAAGUGUAGAAGGGUUCCCACUUUCUGAACCCACACUUCUUUGUCUGAAGCUCUCCCUGGCCAGGGAUAAGAGCUGUGAAGUAUCAUCUUCACUCACCUUUCAUCCGCUUCACCCUGACUCUCAAUGUCAGGGUUAAGAGCUAACAUUACCCUGAUACAGUUGACUUGCUUUGGCAGUCUAACCCUUGUUUGAGCCCACUUUGUUUGGAUAUAGUGUGUGCUAAUUGUGAAUGUUUUCUUUGUUUUGAUUGUGCUUGCAUGCUUUGCUUUGCCUGUUUAGGAUUAGCUUGCUGUUGUGCAAGUAGAUAGAAAACUCAACCUAGGACCAUUGUGGAAUACAUGAUAACUAUUAGGCUCGAGUCAGUCCUCCCUUCUAGUUGGUCAUUUCCCAGUCUCUGGUUAGGAGAAAAGUUUCUCCCCUGUUCAGGGGAACUACGUGCCCUGAUCCUCAUACCAGAUGAGGUACGUAGGCAGGAGGUCGUGCGAGAUCUCUCCGGCACCUUUGUUUUCUUUUUGUGUGUGUUUGCUUGACGUUGCUAGCUCGAGUUCCCGACUCCUUAGUAACUUGUUGCUUAUUUGUUCUUGCGUGUGUAGGAGAUGGAUGUAAGCCCAGUGAUUGCGCAUUCCGUAUCCUCUUGUUUGUGUGCUUGUAGUCCGGUAUAAGUCCAUCAAGUGGCAUCUGGUUUCCAGUGUGGGUUUGUUUGGUUCGGAAGCAGAUGUUAAGUCCAGCGAUUGUCAUCGGAUUCCAUGUUUGCCUGUUUGUGUAUUUGUUUUGAUGUCUCAGCGUCUGUGCGUGUGUUUUGUUUCGGCGUGCGUGAGCCGAACUACGGUAGCUCUGAUUCUCGUUCCAGACGAGAUACGUAGGCAUAGGAUGCGAUGUCCUAGUGAGCCCUCUUCCCCCUUCCUCCACCUGUGUUGUCUUCAGUGUGUGUGUGUGUGAUGUUUGUUUUAGCAACCUUUUCUUUCUUUUAGAGCGUGGAUCCCGUCGAGUACGACGGAUGCGUAGGGGUGUUAAUGCCUUCCCUUCGCAUAACCGACUCCCGAUCCCUUUCUCUUUGGUCGCGAGACCAUGUCUUUCCCAGGUUUAUUCUGAGCGUUUCCUUUCCCUCUUUUGGGAUAAAUAAUGCACGGUGGCGGCUCUGUGUUGUUUUGUUUUAGCCCGCCGGUUGUUUUUCGCGGAUGCGACACAAUACAUUUUAUUUCACUUUUAUUUUUCUGAUUUACUUUGUGGACUGGGUCGUGUGCAACUUGUUUUCCCCACUCCCCUUUAUUUUGGUCCAUUUUCGUUACAACUGGUUGCUUCUUCUUAAAUUUGCUAGCAUGCACCCCCUGUUUCUUUUUAUUUAUAAUUAUUUCUCUUCUUUUUUAACUUAUAUUUAAAUACUUCCUUUUAUCCAAAAAAUCCUUUAAAAAAUUCAUGAAUGACAUUUUGCAUAUUAUUCAAUUUUUCAUAUUUUUUAAUUUCAUUUUUGAUUUAGUUUAAUAUCUAUUUUGAUUUUUUAAAUUAAAUGUGUUUAAUUGACCUAUUUUUAAAUGUUAGGGUUUAAUUCUUGAUUUUUCCUUUUUUAUUUUGUUCCAAAUUUUUGUACACAUGUAGAGACAUGUAUAUAGGUCCUUUGAGCACUCAUUUUAUGUUUUGGUUAUCAAUUUUGCAUCAUAUUUGAACCUAUUUUUGAAGAUUGCUUGGUAUGAUCAAGUAUUUGUGCAUUGCUUAAAUGAUUGAAUUGUUUGAACAUCUUUUGCACUUUUUCUUAAGCACAUUUUUAGUAUCCUUUGAUAUUUUGACUUCAUAUUUCUAUAUUUAAUUUUUCAUAUUUUUUCCGUGCUUCUAAAUAUUUUUCUUGUAUUAUUCAAAGUAUGCUUAUUCCUUGUGCCACAUUUGCACCUAGUUAUUUAUCUUGGUGUGCACUUGUGCAACCAUUUGGGAUCCCUUUACCAUUCUUUCUUAACCUCCUCCUCAUCAUUUAAGAGUCCUAAAUUCACUCAUGUGGACCAUUUUAGUUAUCUCCAAUUGAUGCUUCUAUGCUUGUUUGUUUAGUGUGCAAUUUGCUUGCUUGUGAGACCAUAGUUUGGAUUUGGUCUUGUGCAUUCCAACUUGGGUACUAUGGGUCCAAAUGAAUUUUAUUCCUCUUGUUUAUGUUUCUGAUUUUCUUGGUCUUGGUAUCCUUAUACCUUUCUCUUAUGAUUCUUUGAAUGGUAUUCCAUUGCCACUUUAUCAUGAUGACACAUUAAGAGCUACAUUCUUCUCUUUCUUGACCUAGUUUCGAGUUUGAUGGAUGGUGAAGCUCUUAGGAGUUUGGGAUCAAUCCUUUUAUUUUAAUAUUAUUCUUAUUUUAUUUCUUUAUGUUUCCAAUCCAUUUUACCUUUCUUUUUACUUUGGUUGGGAAAAGGACUCCAUGCUUGGAUGAUGUCCAUCUUUUGACUUGUUAGUUAUGCUUGAACUUUGAGUUUGUAGUUUUGUUGAUACCUCUUGAAGUUUAGAAGUUUUAUUUGAUGCUUGGAAGAGGAUUUUAUUAUUAUCUCAUGACCCAUAAGCAUCCCUUUCUUUAAUCUUUAUCAUCCUAUGGAUUUUUGAUAAAGGAUUCCUUAUCUAGGAUGAUAUCUUCUUUUGUUUAUCAAAAUAUUUAACUUUGAUGUGUGUGUGAUUUGGUGACUUACUUUGUUACUCUUGAACCUCAUCUUGAGUUAACGUAUUGUACAAGUCAUAACACUCCUUUAUGUUAUGUGUAUACCUUGAUUGCUUGAUUACUUGUUGCUUAGGCUUCUUUGGAUUUAUGUGAUUGGUUACCUAUCUUUUCGCCUAUCUUGAAGCAUAGCUUAUGUGAUUCAUCCAUGACUCUUUAAUUGACUUGUAUGUGAAGUUCAAUUUGCCAUAUACUUCUGAUUUGUUUGGUUUGAUACCAUUUUUCUGGAUUCUAUUGCAUCUCUACUUGAUAGGAGUCCAUUAGCCUUAGAAGCAUGGCUAGGGUUUGAAUUUGAUUAUUACCUAUGUCAACCCUUGAGAAUGCUUUGAUAUGAUGCCUUUGUGAUAUUUUGCUCCUUCCUUAAUUAAUUCCAUUGUUUUGAUCUCAUUCAUCUACCAUAUCAUUGGAUAUGUCUAAACUGUCCACACUUGUGUUCAUUUCACUUUACAAAUUUACUGUUGAUCAUAUGCUUUGAUGCUUAUUUGGGUUGUUUUGUUGCUCAUUUUGAUUUGAUAACUUGUUAUUUGCUUUCAUCUUCUUCCAUGACUUGCUAUGGAUCACUUUAUUUAUAUUUCAUCUAUCCUGUCAUGACUUUAUAUGUUUUGUUUAGUUUCCAUCUUUUUCCCAUGACAUGAUAUGGAUUAUUCUGUCUACCUUCUAUAUGUUCUUCCAUGACUUGAUAUGGGAUUACUUUGUUAUCUCUUAUCUAUUCUUCCAUGACUUGAUAUGGACUGCUUUGCCUUUAUAUUAUCAUUUCUUUACCUAUGACAUUAUAUGGAUGGCUAAUUACUUUUCUCUUAUCAUGACCUGAUAUGUCUUACUUUGUGAAUUUGUUCCUACUUUCACCAUGACUUGAUAUGGAUUUGUCUUCUUCUUUAGCUCUUUUACUUGUGUGGAUAGCAUAUUCCCCAUAGAAUUUGUUCCUACCUAAUGUUGUCAUGCUUGGUUAACAAACCUAAGGUUUCCUUUAGUCCAAUCUUAUGGUGGAAGGGUUAUAAUUGCUUUCUAAUUAGUGAAAGUCACACAUGAUGUCUCUAGAGUUUAAACAAGACUCCUACAACCACAUAUCCUAUUUAGGAAUAUUGUCACCAAUAACGGGCUAGCCAUUAUAUGAUAAUACUUAUAAAAAAUAUACUCUAGGUGAGAUCUUCGUGCUAACCAAGAGAGAUGUACGUCUCGAAGGUCAAUAUUAUGCAACCUUUAAACAUAAUAACAAAUAUACAAUUCUAAACAAGGUUCUUAUACUCACUGACCCUAUUGGGAAUAUUUCCAUAAUAACGGGAUAACCAUUAAACAACAAUACCCUCAAGAGGAUCUACUCCAUGUCAGGUUUUCAUGCCGACCAAGCGAGAUGUGCAUCCCAAAGGCCAACACUACACAACCUCAAUCUAAAUUUUAAUUUAUUUAGACUCAGGUAUAAAGUCACACUCCAAAGCAUGUGUAAUGUGAAGUCAAAUAAAACCCCCAAGAUAAAUACAUUCAAAUCAUAUAAUAAAUAAAUAAAAAUAUAAAUAACUAGUGAGUUAAAGAAACCAAACAAGAAUAAAAUACUAAAGCAAACAUAAGAACACAAAUAUAGGAGGAGAAAUAAGGAUAAAUGAGAAUCAUACUUUUGCAAAAUUAAUUAUGCUAGGUUUGACUCUCUAAAGGUCUCAAGUGAAAUCGUCAGUUAUUGCGGCCUAAAAUAUUCGAGACGUGCUCGAAAAAAAAUGAAGUCACCAUCAAAGUUUAUUUGAAAAGGAAAAACACUGGUAAAACCCUUAAAGAACAAAAAGAUGGUCGUCACAAUCAAAUUUAGGUUCGAGAAUCAAUUAUGCGUAGAGAAUGUAUUAACACCCUAUGACAUUUGUUUAAUAAAAUAGUUACCUUUAGUUAAUUUUGCGAAAAAAAUAUUCUUAACAUUAUUAAAUCUAUUUUCUCCUAAUCGUUUAACACAAAAUAAAUCAUAUUUACAAACAAAGGGGGAAACUGUUUUUUAUUUAUUAAUGUGCCUAACAAGAUUUGAUUCUUGCUCUUACUAUCUCCCGAUGCGAUGGAGAAUUCCAAACUAUUUAGUUCUUGUGUAGAAAAAUAUUGUGUGUUGGUUGAUUGUAGAGAAAAAAUGUUUGAUCGCACUAAGGUGGAAAGAAAGUCAUUUAAUCGGUAGUGAUUGAUUUUUUAGGAAGAAGACAAGUGUUACAAUGGGCAAGGAGUACGACUUGUGUUCGAACACUUGAGAAAAACGAAUGCACGUCCCCAAUUAAUAGUUUUUAAUCAAAUUUUUAUUUAUAAAAAGAAAAUUUUAAAUCAAUUGAGUUACAUUCUCUUAAAGGAGGACACACAUUUGAAUAAACAUGUUGUACAACUUAUGUCCGAAUACUCGAAGAUAAAAGGGAUGCACAUCUAAUUAACCCUUUUUAAUCAUGUAAAAUAAUGGACUUGAAAAUAAAGUUAUUAAAUUUUUUUUGACAAAAAGGAUGUAUACUUCAAUAAUUCAAUUUUAAUUUAUAAAAAAGAUGAUAUUAAAAAUAAUUAAGUUGUAGGAAAUUCGACAAUUAAAAUAAAAAUAGAUGUAUGAUAAUUUUAAAAUUGUAUAUAGCUUUUUAAAGAAUUUAUUUAGAAAAGAUAAAUAGAUUUCUUUAUAAACUUGCCUUUCAUUAGUAUUAUAAAAAACUGGAUUUAAAAGAAUUUAAAAGAUAAUGUAAAUUGUUAAAGCUAGAACCCACGUGUGAUUUUGUUUUUAUAAUUUCUAACAGAAAAAACACAAAAUAGUUUGAUGACUAUUUCUCAUAACAUAAAAUAGCUAUUAAUGGAUGAAAUUAUUGAGCUUGGUGAGAUGCGAUUAGAACCGUUUCGUCUCAUCAACAACACUCAAGAAGCCAUGGAUGCUGAAAGAAAGAGGAAAAUCGCAAAGUGUGGAGUCAUGCCUCAACCCUAGUGAUUCGGUUGAUCGAAGAUGACGCAAACAAUGGAAAUUGUGAGUUAUUCUUCAUCUAUUUUAAUGCUGAUUAAGAAAUAAAAGAUAGAGUUCUUAGAUGAUGAGAUUCCUCACAUCCUCACAUGCCUCAACCCUAGUUUUUUAUUUGAACAUUUCUUCACUCGUCUUAAUGACUUUUUGUUGGCUUUCUUGUAGUAAGCUUAUUUACUUUUCAAUGCUUACAUUGAUAAUACAGUAUAUCAAUGAAUGCCAUAUGGAGUACUAAUUAAGAAGAAAAUAUUUGGGAAUAUUACAUCCUUAUUCUUUACGUUACAUUCAAUGAAACCGUUUCGUUUAGGACUAUCUUUUAUCUUUUCUUCUAUGUUUUUCAGUGAAUGUAUUUUUUUUGUUCUAUUGUUGACUUGUUAAUUAAAAUGACUAAAGUACAUAUCUUUAUUUAAAAAUGGAAGAUUCCAUUAUUUUUGAUAGCAUCAUGGCCGGCUAAAUACAAGUUGAUGUUGUUGUAAAACAAUUUUUUUCUUCUGUAUUUUUCUAUUCGAGUCUUAUUUAAGUGUGUAUAAUGUUGAUUGGGUAAUAGUUCGAUUCCAAAAUAUUCAUUGUUUUACUUUGUAUUUAGUUUUGUAUUUUGUUUCCUAAAUAAGUAAAUAUUUUCCCGAUUCCGUUUUGCUAUUGUAUUAUGCGAUGAUAAUUGUUUUGAAUUCGUUUUGGUUACAAUUAUGCAUCUAUUGACUUGUAAAUUUGGAUUGCGUAUUCGUUUGCGUGACUGUUUCAAUUACAGCUUUGUAGACUUGUAAAUUAAUGUUGGUGUUUACCACUGUUGUACGUUCGUUCUUGAACGAUAUUUAUCCUAGCUUAAGUUUGGUAAACAAAUGGUUUUGUUUUUUUUCAUGGCAUAAUAUAUGUAUCAGUAUAAUAUGUAUGUUGCUGUUCUGGUUUAAUAAGGCACAAUAUAUGUUGCUGUUCUGGUAAUACAUUGUAUAUAUGGUAUAGUAUAUAUGCUGUUGUUCCUGCAUCAGAAUGGACUCGUAAAAUCUUGUAAAUAAUACCCCUGUUGCUGUUCUGGUUUAAUUUCUGUUUGCAUUGCUAAAUCAUAUUCAAUCUGUGAUUUCGACAUUGAUAAUGUGCCGAUAUACUGCUGAUUAUGUGUGUGUCUUUUACGAUGUUUCACUUCCGAUUUAAUCAUGUAGUUGCUGCGAUUAUGCAUCUAUUGACUUGUAAAUUUGGAUUGCGUAUUCGUUUGCGUGACUGUUUCAAUUACAGCUUUGUAGACUUGUAAAUUAAUGUUGGUGUUUACCACUGUUGUACGUCCAAAAACCACAGUAAAUGUCCAUAUGUCCUGAAGAUAUUGGAGUUCCAUGCUAGACCCGGGUCUAUCCUACUUGCCAACCAGCACGAACUGCCUUCUCUGAUAUCUUCUCUUUUUACAUCUGUUGUCUUACUAUAUUUAUUACAAGGUGAAGAUGUAAUACUGUACAUUUGCUCGAGAAGCACUUCGAAUAUAGUUAGGUUUAUCAGUUUCAUAUCAUUUUUUGGAAUUACCAUACUGUACAAUUUCUAUAAAAAUGUGAAGCCUUUUUUGAUGUUUGAACAUUUCUCACUCGUCUUAAUGACUUUUUGUUGGCUUUCUUGUAGUGAGCCUUAUUUACUUUCAAUGCUUACAUUGAUAAUGUUUUGUGGAUUUUGUAGGAGGAAAACUGGAAGAGGUCAUUGCACUUACUGUGAUAUAACUGUUAAAUUGUUUGUCUCACACAUAUCUUUCAGAUGACAAGGAUAAUACGACAUUAUGAAUUGUUACAGGCCCCGCCCAGGAGCAAGCGUAUGUGACAUUUUCAUUGUAUUAGAUUGUGUUGAUUCCUACUAUUGCUAGCAAUUUAAGACAUCCCCAUGAUGUACANNNNNNNNNNNNNNNNNNNNNNNNNUCAGUUCGUUGAACGUUAUUUAUCCUAGCUUAAGUUUGGUAAACAAAUGGUUUGUUUUUUUUCAUGCAUAAUAUAUGUAUCAGUAUAAUAUGUAUGUUGCUGUUCUGGUUUAAUAAGGCACAAUAUAUGUUGCUGUUCUGGUAUCAUUGUAAAUAUGGUAUAGUAUAUAUGCUGGUUGUUCCUGCAUCAGAAUGGACUCGUAAAAUCUUGUAAAUAAAUACCCUGUUGCUGUUCUGGUUUAAUUCUGUUUUGCAUUGCUAAAUCAUUUCAAUUCGUGAUUUCGACAUUGAUAAUGUGCCGAUAUACUGCUGAUUAUGUGGUGUCUUAUACGAUGUUUUCACUUCCGAUUUAAUCAUGUAGUUGCUGCGAUUAUUUUCAUUAAGUUUGGCAAUCAUGUCAGAGUCUUUGCAGCAGGUCACCACACCUUGCUAUGCACGUGUCAUGAAUAGAUUAAAAUCAUCUUGAGGUCUUAUGGAGUAAUGUUCUUCUGUUUGCCUCUUUUUACAUUUUGUUUUUACUAUAUAUACACAAGGUGAUUGUUUGUAAAAUACUGCCAAAUAUUGUGGGCGAAAUGCUACUUUCCGAAUAAGUGAGUGGUUGAGUUCUGCAAUUUAUUUUGAGGUUAAUAUGUACAUUUUUAUAAAAAUGUGAAGCCUUUUUUAUGUUUGACAUUUUCUCACUCGUCUUAAUUACUUUUGUUGGCUUUCUUGUAGUGAGCUUAUUUACUUUUCAAUGCUUACAUUGAUAAUGUUUUGUGGAUUUUGUAGGAGGAAAACUUGGAGAGGUCAUUGCACUUACUGUGAUAUAACUGUUAAAUUGUUUGUCUCACAUAUAUCUUUCAGAUGCAAGGAUAAUACUGACAUUAUGAGAUUUUGUUUACAGGCCCCGCCCGGAGCAAGCGUAUGUGACAUUUUCAUUGUAUUAGAUUGUGUUGAUCCUACUAUUUGCAGCAAUUUAAGACAUCCCAUGAUGUACCAUUUUCAGGGGGUUCCAUGAGAUAUAGAAGUGGAUGCAGGUCACCUUUGAUUUGGAAGCAUAAUCCAGUCUGCUCCCCAGCUCUUUCUCGUAUUAAGUUUCAUGCACUUCAUAGAUUAAAUCACAUACGUUUUGUGAUCUCGUUGUGUAGAUGAAAGUGUUGUUCAUUUGUUUAAAAUUAGUUUCAAAUGUCUGCGCAUCUAGCUCAUUUCAGAUCACAAGAGUGAGGACUGGUCUUGUACCAUUUUGCAGGGGGUUCCAUGAGAUAUAGAAAGUGAUGCAGGUCACCUUUGAUUUGGAAGCAUAAUCCAGUCUGCAUCCCAGCUCUUUCUCGUAUUAAGUUUCAUGCACUUCAUUAGAUUAAGUGAUUCUGGUAGAUGGAAAGUGUUGUCAUUUUUUAAAAUUAUUUAGGUCGAAUGCCAGUAAUUUCCAAUGCAAAUUGUUUUUAAUUCAAGUCAUGAUGGUAACGUUUAUUGUAGGAAACACAUUCUAUGCAUUUGAAGAUAUUGUUUUUUCUAAUAACAAAUGUUAAUAUGUUAGUUUUAUUAUGGUGUGGGUAGGAAUAGAACCAUCAACCUCAACUCUCUCACUCCAUCCUCAAAACACCAAGCCAAGUUUAUAUCUCUCUAUAUAAUGAUAUGGUCUAGUUUUGUCUUAGCAUUUAGGAGCUUUAAUCUACAUUCUAAUAUACAUAAUUUAUGGAGAUAUAUUAUUAUAUUUCUAUAUUGACGGAGCUGUAGAGGUAGUAAUUGCACAAACUCUCGGUACUUAAGUGAGUUAUUGAUAAUUUCAUACUGGACCAUAUGAAUUUGUUGAGGAACUUUACAGUUACUGAAUAUGAUUCCAUUUUGUAUGACUUCCAAAAUCAUAUUUUCUAAUUUGUACAAAUUUGCUUUAGUGGUUUUUCUUCAAUGAAGUUACAACAUGGCUACAGUUCAUUUAAAAUUAGCCAUCUUCUUCUUGUGUCGUCUAUAAGAAAAAUUGCACGGUUGACUUAAUAUAUCCUUGUUAUGGUUUUAUGGACAAUCUUUCUCAAUUAUUAUUAUUUGAUUGUGCAUUGUGAAUUGUUAUAUGCUGGCUGGAUUAGUAGUCUUUUUAUUACCAAAUUAUUGAAUCAUAACUAACAUUGAUCGGUCGAGUUUGCAGGUACCACACCUUUGGGUGUCAUGCUAUGCUCAUGAGUAUGAUGAAACAGAAAGGAAAUGCAACAUCUUAAAAACAUGGUAGGAAGUUUACCUUUGAUUUGAGCUGCUGGCCAUGCUUAACAGUCCGGUCUUCAACCGAGCUGAGUGAAUGAGAUUCAUUGACAUGGGGGGCCUUCUGAAACUUGAUUUUACUUAUAAAUGUCAUGUUUUUAUUGGUAAUGUAUCUUAUGUUUCAUGUUUCAUGAUAAGAUUUCAUUCACGAAUCGGAAAAUAGUUCUUUUGAUUUAGGAUUUGAAUCUCAAUUUGAUAAUCAUGCCAACAAUUGAAUGGAAUACAUAACAAUGGAAUUCACAACUAAUUAAUGUGUAUUUAAAUCUAAAUAAGGGGUGAUAACCUUUUUUUCUGCAUAGGGGGGAUGGGGAAUACAUGUCUUUUCUCUUUUUUAUUUGCAAAACAAAUUACCAAAUGUCGAUUUUCUUUAUUCACAAUGGCAGAUGUAAUUUUCAACAAGGAAGAAGAUGUCAUUUCUCCGGAAAAUGAUGUCAUUGAUGGUCCGCUGUGUUUCUAUGAUGUGCUUGCUGAUUACUUUGUACAUGUGCCUGAAAGUGGGAAGCCCGUCCUUGACUUGAUUGUCCAACUUUGGAGCCAGUCAUUUGCUUCACAUAUUUUUAGCCUCUUGUUUCACAAAUGGGUAUGUAAGCUUGUCUCUGCCAUAUUGUCUUUUGCUCUCUUGAGGGAAGUUUUACUUAGCUUGAUAGUAUUAGUAUGGUCAUCCAUUACUGGUUUUGAAUUUGAACAUUUACAAUUCUAAAAAAAAGUGAGUCGUCUUAAUGGCAUGGUUACAUUCUGACAAAUAUGAACAUCCUCAAAUUGACUAAUGAUAUUCUGAGGCAUACCUGAUUAUGGCUAUAUAUUCCUUUUUCUCUUAGCUGGUUAUAGAGUGGGUGGCAAUUCCCCAUUUCACUUGACUAACAAUAUGUAUAACCUUUUUCUCUUAGUUGGUUAUAGAGUGGGUGGCAAUUCCCGAUUUCACUUGACUACCAUUUCUUCUUGUUCAUUCAAAUUUUGAAAUGCUUAUGAGUAUUUAGAACCUUCAUCAACGGUUUCUAAAAUUCAUUCUUUUCCUGAUAUUGGUACAAAAUUUCUGUCUACUAGUAGUAUAGCACCUAUUUUGUCAAAUGCUUGAAAUAGGUUUCAGAUUUAAUCCUUGGGAACCAGUGCAUACUAUUGUAAAUAUGUAGUAUGUAAGAUAAGUGACAUAUAUAGUAUAAUUAUUUCAUUUUGAUAAUGUGAGUGGUAUAUAUGAUACUAUUAUGUAUAAAUGAAAUGAGUGCUGAUAUAUAUAUAUAUAUAUAUAUAUAUAUAUAUAUAUAUAUAUAUAUAUAUAUAUAUAUAUAUNCUGUCAAAAUAAAUUUUGUCCACCGUCAAUACAAACACACACUUAAAAUUGGUUAUGAGAAUUGUGUUUUUACUUUUUACAUAGCACUGGUUUGAGAUUAGAUGUUUUUUUUUUGCUUGGGUAUAUUUCAUUUCUGUUAUUUCCCUUCUGUUGUAAGGAGUCAAUCUCCAUAUUUCCUAAAGAAAUCUUAGUUCCUAUUUUCUAAUUGACAUUCAAGAAUCACUGUUUGAGCUCUUUUAUUUAGUCCUAAUUGGGGUAAUAUUGUAAAACAUAUUUCUAGCUGUUUAGUUGUAUAUAACUUUUUAAUACCUUAAUGCAGAUGUUUGAAGUUCAUCUUGAUAAUCCAGAAGUGCUCCUACGGUAUUCAUCUGCCCUGGUUCAAGGUGCCACAAAUGUUUUCUGGUAUGAAUACAGGCUGUUAUAAAGUAAAAUGUUAAUUAAUUGGAUAUAACUUGCAAAAAGACCAGGCAGAUUUGGAUUGGCUGGCAUUUAUAAGUUAAAAUUAUAUUCACUUUGAAAAACCAUGCUCUGAAAAGAUAUGAACUUCAUUUCAUGCUCCACUCCACUCCUAAAUGGAAAUAAGAAGAAUAUGUGUGAACUCUCUUUAUCAUCUUUCUUUUAAAAACAAUAUUUGCUUGCAUUACAUGAUUUUAUCAAUAGUCUUUCUAUGCCAAAUCAAUAGCAAUCCGUUUGACCUUAUCCUAAUCCAUUAAAAACAAAACAGAAAGUAAUUGAAAAUUUGGAAAAUGUUAGUAAGAGUGUCUUCAUGGGCUAAAACCUCUACUAUGAUAGAGUUGAUAUUGUACCAUAUUUGGAAAAUCAAUUUGAGAAUUGCAAUAGUCAUUUUUGGUGCCAUGUACAGGAUUGACAUUCAGACAAAUACAAAGCGUUUCCGGUCUAUAUUCCGUGUAAGGGUUCUAGUUGGAUCCUAUAUUUAUUUUAACUAUUAUGUAUCAUCUGAAUAAUAUUAUAAUCAUUGUUUCUUUUCCCAAUUCUUUUGCAUAUUCCUUGUGUUUCCCUCAAAUUCAGUACCUCUUGGAUGAUGAUGCAUUACACCACAGUAGAUUGAAUAAAAUUCCUCUCCAGGUAUACCAUAUCAGUUUUAGUUUUUGGCAUUUUAUAAAUGCUGCCUACAAUUUUUUAUAGGACCUUUAGCUAGUCUACUUUUGUUGCUGGCAAUGGCAUUCUGAAAUUUUUUACUUUUCAUUGAACUAUCAGGCUCAGCGAGAUAUGUAUCUUUUGCUCUCAAGGUUCAUUCUAUUUUACAAUUCAGGUAGCCAUUCAGAGAAGUUAUUAGCCUAUAAAUAAUAAUGCAAUAGUCUCUAAAUCUAAUAUUGCCCUCUUUGCAGCUGGCAAAAUCGAUAGCUUCUUGAAACAAUGUCCUGUUUUUCAAACUGCCUUCUUAGUUGGCAGUCCGGCAGAUAUAUUUGUGAAUGAACUCACGGAUCAGGUACAUCUGAAUCACCUUUUUUCACAAUUGAAAACCAUAUCCUCUGUUUCAUAUAAAGAAAUUAUGUUACCUACACUUAAUUGUUGCUGUUGAUUUUUUUAACAGCUUCAAAAGCUUAAGGUGGAACCUGUACUGCUGCAUUAUCUUUCAUAAAUCAAGGUCCUUCAGGGUACUAAACCAACCAUUCAGGUUCAAUAGUUGGACAUGGAAUAUUCUUCUCUCAACCUGACUCAGCUAAGUCAUUCUUUUGUUUAUGUUAAUGGCACAGGUAUGGAAUUGAGAAUGACGACAAGUACGAGAUUGAAAACAUGUUUGUAUAGUUUUACUUCUCCUGGUGGUCCAAUGUACCCGACCAGAGCUGUUCGUCAUGCUGCAUGGGAAGCACUAGAUUUUCUUUUUCCGGUUAGUCUUAUUAUUAAUAAUUAAAGCACUAGAGUUUCUUUUUCCGUUAGUAUUAUUAUUACUUAAUAAUUAGUAUUCAAACCAAAUUAUAACAAAUUGCAAGAGCUUUGUCCUCGCCGGCCCAAAAUGCCUUUUUUCACUUUAAAUAUUUUUAGGUCCCAUCAUUGUUAAAUACUUGACUUUUAUUAAAACCUUUUUAAGUUUUAUAGGUGGGAUUAUAUGACUAUUAAACUGUUUAAAUUUCCAAUAGAUGAAGGGAAACAUUAAUGGCUUUUUAAAAUGAUUUCAUAGAAUCUGCACACAGAUGAUGUGUUUUUCCCUUUUAGCUUUUUCAACUUAUUUCUGAAAGGGUGGAUUGUUUGUGUAUAUGCCGUAUAGUUCAUAGUUAAGAUAUCAAUAUAGCAUAUUGAUAAAUAAGUGUAAUAUCUUAACUCAUAAGCACGAGCUUCAUGCACGCACCAAGUACUAGUCCGAUAAAUAAAUAUUAAUGUUGAUUUUCUGCUAUGAUGCAGGUUGGGCAAUACCCUCGGCAUCUCAUAAGUCUGUUCUUCAGGUUGCUCUAUCCAUGGUAUUGGCCAUCCUCUUGUUGGAACUUUGUGGUUUCGUGCAUUCAUGCUAUCUUUUACUCCUUACUGAGGUUGAUAUUUUCUACGUGGGAAAAAAUUGCCAAACCAAAAACACAGUAAAUGUCCAUAUGUCCUGAAGAUAUUGGAGUUCAUGCAUAGAACCCGGGUCAUCUCUUGCCAACCAGCACGAAUGCCUUCUCUGAUAUUUCUUUUUUCCACUCAAUGUGAUGUACAUAUCAUUUUUUGAAUUAAUAUGUACAAUUUUUAUCAGAGAAGGCAUAUUAUUCAGGUUCAUUCGUUCAUAUCAUUUUUUGAAUUAAUAUGUACAAUUUCUAUAAAAAUGUGAAGCCUUUUUUUGAUUUGAACAUUUUCUCACUCGUCUUAAUGACUUUUUGUUGGCUUUCUUGUAGUGAGCUUAUUUACUUUUCAAUGCUUACAUUGAUAAUGUUUUGUGGAUUUUGUAGGAGGAAAACUUGGAAGAGGUCAUUGCACUUACUGUGAUAUAACUGUUAAAUUGUUUGUCUCACACAUAUCUUUCAGAUGCAAAGGAUAAUACUGACAUUAUGAAUUUUGUUACAGGCCCCGCCCAGGGAGCAAGCGUAUGUGACAUUUUCAUUGUAUUAGAUUGUGUUGAUCCUACUAUUGCUAGCAAUUUAAGGCAUCCCAUGAUGUACCAUUUUGCAGGGGGUUCCAUGAGAUAUAGAAAGUGAUGCAGGUCACCUUUGAUUUGGAAGCAUAAUCCAGUCUGCAUCCCAGCUCUUUCUCGUAUUAAGUUUCAUGCACUUCAUUAGAUUAAAUCACAUACGUUUGUGAUUCUGGUAGAUGGAAAGUGUUGUCAUUUUUUAAAAUUAUUUAGGUCGAAUGCCAGUAAUUUCCAAUGCAAUUUGUUUUUAAUUCAAGUCAUGAUGGUAACGUUUAUCGUAGGAAACAGAUUCUAUGCAUUUGAAGAUGUUGUUUUUUCUAUUAACAAAUGUUAAUAUGUUAGUUUUAUUAUGGUGUGGGUAGGACUAGAACCAUCAACCUCAACUCUCUCACUCCAUCCUCAAACCACCAAACCAAGUUUAUAUCUCUCUAUAUAAUGAUAUGGUCUAGUUUUGUCUUAGCAUUUAGGAGCUUUAAUCUACAUUCUAAUGUACAUAAUUUAUGGAGAUAUAUUAUUAUAUUUCUAUAUUGGCGGAGCUGUAGAGGUAGUAACUGCACAAACUCUCGGUACUUAAAUGAGUUAUUGAUAAUUUCAUACUGGACCGUAUGAAUUUAUUGAGGAACUUCACAGUUACUGAAUAUGAUUCCAUUUUGUAUGACUUCCAAAAUCAUAUUUUCUAAUUUGUACAAAUUUGCUUUAGUGGUUUUUCUUCAAUGAAGUUACAACAUAGCUACAGUUCAUUUAAAAUUAGCCAUCUUCUUCUUGUGUCGUCUAUAAGAAAAAUUGCACGGUUGACUUAAUAUAUCCUUGUUAUGGUUUUAUGGACAAUCUUUCUCGAUUAUUAUUAUUUGAUUGUGCAAUUGUGAAGUUGUUAUGAUCUGCUUGUGAUUAGUAUGUUCUUUUAUUUACCAAAAUUAUUUGAAUUCAUAACUAACUUGAUCGUCGGAGUUUUUGCAGGUACCACACCUUUGGUGUGUCAUGCUAUGCUCAUGAGUAUGAUGAAACAGAAAGGAAAUGCAACAUCUUAAAAACAUGGUAGGAAGUUUACCUUUGAUUUGAGCUGCUGGCCAUGCUUAACAGUCCGGUCUUCAACCGAGCUGAGUGAAUGAGAUUCAUUGACAUGGGGGGCCUUCUGAAACUUGAUUUUACUUAUAAAUGUCAUGUUUUUAUUGGUAAUGUAUCUUAUGUUUCAUGUUUCAUGAUAAGAUUUCAUUCACGAAUCGGAAAAUAGUUCUUUUGAUUUAGGAUUUGAAUCUCAAUUUGAUAAUCAUGCCAACAAUUGAAUGGAAUACAUAACAAUGGAAUUCACAACUAAUUAAUGUGUAUUUAAAUCUAAAUAAGGGGUGAUAACCUUUUUUUCUGCAUAGGGGGGAUGGGGAAUACAUGUCUUUUCUCUUUUUUAUUUGCAAAACAAAUUACCAAAUGUCGAUUUUCUUUAUUCACAAUGGCAGAUGUAAUUUUCAACAAGGAAGAAGAUGUCAUUUCUCCGGAAAAUGAUGUCAUUGAUGGUCCGCUGUGUUUCUAUGAUGUGCUUGCUGAUUACUUUGUACAUGUGCCUGAAAGUGGGAAGCCCGUCCUUGACUUGAUUGUCCAACUUUGGAGCCAGUCAUUUGCUUCACAUAUUUUUAGCCUCUUGUUUCACAAAUGGGUAUGUAAGCUUGUCUCUGCCAUAUUGUCUUUUGCUCUCUUGAGGGAAGUUUUACUUAGCUUGAUAGUAUUAGUAUGGUCAUCCAUUACUGGUUUUGAAUUUGAACAUUUACAAUUCUAAAAAAAAGUGAGUCGUCUUAAUGGCAUGGUUACAUUCUGACAAAUAUGAACAUCCUCAAAUUGACUAAUGAUAUUCUGAGGCAUACCUGAUUAUGGCUAUAUAUUCCUUUUUCUCUUAGCUGGUUAUAGAGUGGGUGGCAAUUCCCCAUUUCACUUGACUAACAAUAUGUAUAACCUUUUUCUCUUAGUUGGUUAUAGAGUGGGUGGCAAUUCCCGAUUUCACUUGACUACCAUUUCUUCUUGUUCAUUCAAAUUUUGAAAUGCUUAUGAGUAUUUAGAACCUUCAUCAACGGUUUCUAAAAUUCAUUCUUUUCCUGAUAUUGGUACAAAAUUUCUGUCUACUAGUAGUAUAGCACCUAUUUUGUCAAAUGCUUGAAAUAGGUUUCAGAUUUAAUCCUUGGGAACCAGUGCAUACUAUUGUAAAUAUGUAGUAUGUAAGAUAAGUGACAUAUAUAGUAUAAUUAUUUCAUUUUGAUAAUGUGAGUGGUAUAUAUGAUACUAUUAUGUAUAAAUGAAAUGAGUGCUGAUAUAUAUAUAUAUAUAUAUAUAUAUAUAUAUAUAUAUAUAUAUAUAUAUAUAUUAGUUAAUCAUGGACUAAUGCAUAUUACUAGUAUGUUUGGUUUGGCUUUUGGAACAGCUAGAAUCAAUUCUAGAGGUGUAGAAUUGAUUAUGGAGUGAUUUUGAGGUGUUUGGUUCUAAAGUAGAAUUGAUUUUACCUCCAGAAUUGAUUCUACUUGAAGCUAGAAUUUGUAGCUUCUGAGUUUAAACACGAUUUUUACACUGAAAUUUGUUGUUCAACUCACUUUUACAUAAACGUAUCCAAACAUAAAUCAAAUUAUGUUAAACUUCUAUUAAAAUCAAUUAUACUAAACUCAUUUCUGUCAAAAUAAAUUUUGUCCACCGUCAAUACAAACACACACUUAAAAUUGGUUAUGAGAAUUGUGUUUUUACUUUUUACAUAGCACUGGUUUGAGAUUAGAUGUUUUUUUUUUGCUUGGGUAUAUUUCAUUUCUGUUAUUUCCCUUCUGUUGUAAGGAGUCAAUCUCCAUAUUUCCUAAAGAAAUCUUAGUUCCUAUUUUCUAAUUGACAUUCAAGAAUCACUGUUUGAGCUCUUUUAUUUAGUCCUAAUUGGGGUAAUAUUGUAAAACAUAUUUCUAGCUGUUUAGUUGUAUAUAACUUUUUAAUACCUUAAUGCAGAUGUUUGAAGUUCAUCUUGAUAAUCCAGAAGUGCUCCUACGGUAUUCAUCUGCCCUGGUUCAAGGUGCCACAAAUGUUUUCUGGUAUGAAUACAGGCUGUUAUAAAGUAAAAUGUUAAUUAAUUGGAUAUAACUUGCAAAAAGACCAGGCAGAUUUGGAUUGGCUGGCAUUUAUAAGUUAAAAUUAUAUUCACUUUGAAAAACCAUGCUCUGAAAAGAUAUGAACUUCAUUUCAUGCUCCACUCCACUCCUAAAUGGAAAUAAGAAGAAUAUGUGUGAACUCUCUUUAUCAUCUUUCUUUUAAAAACAAUAUUUGCUUGCAUUACAUGAUUUUAUCAAUAGUCUUUCUAUGCCAAAUCAAUAGCAAUCCGUUUGACCUUAUCCUAAUCCAUUAAAAACAAAACAGAAAGUAAUUGAAAAUUUGGAAAAUGUUAGUAAGAGUGUCUUCAUGGGCUAAAACCUCUACUAUGAUAGAGUUGAUAUUGUACCAUAUUUGGAAAAUCAAUUUGAGAAUUGCAAUAGUCAUUUUUGGUGCCAUGUACAGGAUUGACAUUCAGACAAAUACAAAGCGUUUCCGGUCUAUAUUCCGUGUAAGGGUUCUAGUUGGAUCCUAUAUUUAUUUUAACUAUUAUGUAUCAUCUGAAUAAUAUUAUAAUCAUUGUUUCUUUUCCCAAUUCUUUUGCAUAUUCCUUGUGUUUCCCUCAAAUUCAGUACCUCUUGGAUGAUGAUGCAUUACACCACAGUAGAUUGAAUAAAAUUCCUCUCCAGGUAUACCAUAUCAGUUUUAGUUUUUGGCAUUUUAUAAAUGCUGCCUACAAUUUUUUAUAGGACCUUUAGCUAGUCUACUUUUGUUGCUGGCAAUGGCAUUCUGAAAUUUUUUACUUUUCAUUGAACUAUCAGGCUCAGCGAGAUAUGUAUCUUUUGCUCUCAAGGUUCAUUCUAUUUUACAAUUCAGGUAGCCAUUCAGAGAAGUUAUUAGCCUAUAAAUAAUAAUGCAAUAGUCUCUAAAUCUAAUAUUGCCCUCUUUGCAGCUGGCAAAAUCGAUAGCUUCUUGAAACAAUGUCCUGUUUUUCAAACUGCCUUCUUAGUUGGCAGUCCGGCAGAUAUAUUUGUGAAUGAACUCACGGAUCAGGUACAUCUGAAUCACCUUUUUUCACAAUUGAAAACCAUAUCCUCUGUUUCAUAUAAAGAAAUUAUGUUACCUACACUUAAUUGUUGCUGUUGAUUUUUUUAACAGCUUCAAAAGCUUAAGGUGGAACCUGUACUGCUGCAUUAUCUUUCAGAAGUCAAGGUCCUUCAGGGUACUAAACCAACCAUUCAGGUGCAAUAGUUGGACAUGGAAUAUUCUUCUCUCAACCUGACUCAGCUAAGUCAUUCUUUUGUUUAUGUUAAUGGCACAGGUAUCGAAUUGAGAAUGACGACAAGUACGAGAUUGAAAACAUGUUUGUAUGGUUUUACUUCUCCUGGUGGUCCAAUGUACCCGACCAGAGCUGUUCGUCAUGCUGCAUGGGAAGCACUAGAUUUUCUUUUUCCGAUAAGUAUUAUUAUUAAUAAUUAAAGCACUAGAGUUUCUUUUUCCGUUAGUAUUAUUAUUACUUAAUAAUUAGUAUUCAAACCAAAUUAUAACAAAUUGCAAGAGCUUUGUCCUCGCCGGCCCAAAAUGCCUUUAUAAUAAUUAGUAUUCAAACCAAAUUAUAACAAAUUGCAAGAGCUUUGUCCUCGCCGGCCCAAAAUGCCUUUUUUCACUUUAAAUAUUUUUAGGUCCCAUCAUUGUUAAAUACUUGACUUUUAUUAAAGCCUUUUUAAGUUUUAUAGGUGGGAUUAUAUGACUAUUAAACUGUUUAAAUUUCCAAUAGAUGAAGGGAAACAUUAAUGGCUUUUUAAAAUGAUUUCAUAGAAUCUGCACACAGAUGAUGUGUUUUUCCCUUUUAGCUUUUUCAACUUAUUUCUGAAAGGCUGGAUUAAUUGUGUAUAUGCCGUAUAGUCAUAGUUAAGAUAUCAAUAUAGCAUAUUGAUAAAUAAGUGUAAUAUCUUAACUCAUAAGCAAGAGCUUCAUGCACGCACCAAGUACUAGUCCGAUAAAUGAAUAUUAAUGUUGAUUUUCUGCUAUGAUGCAGGUUGGGCAAUACCCUCGGCAUCUCAUAAGUCUGUUCUUCAGGUUGCUCUAUCCAUGGUAUUGGCCAUCCUCUUGUUGGAACUUUGUGGUUUCGUGCAUUCAUGCUAUCUUUUACUCCUUACUGAGGUUGAUAUUUUCUACGUGGGAAAAAAUUGCCAAACCAAAAACACAGUAAAUGUCCAUAUGUCCUGAAGAUAUUGGAGUUCAUGCAUAGAACCCGGGUCAUCUCUUGCCAACCAGCACGAAUGCCUUCUCUGAUAUUUCUUUUUUCCACUCAAUGUGAUGUACAUAUCAUUUUUUGAAUUAAUAUGUACAAUUUUUAUCAGAGAAGGCAUAUUAUUCAGGUUCAUUCGUUCAUAUCAUUUUUUGAAUUAAUAUGUACAAUUUCUAUAAAAAUGUGAAGCCUUUUUUUGAUUUGAACAUUUUCUCACUCGUCUUAAUGACUUUUUGUUGGCUUUCUUGUAGUGAGCUUAUUUACUUUUCAAUGCUUACAUUGAUAAUGUUUUGUGGAUUUUGUAGGAGGAAAACUUGGAAGAGGUCAUUGCACUUACUGUGAUAUAACUGUUAAAUUGUUUGUCUCACACAUAUCUUUCAGAUGCAAAGGAUAAUACUGACAUUAUGAAUUUUGUUACAGGCCCCGCCCAGGGAGCAAGCGUAUGUGACAUUUUCAUUGUAUUAGAUUGUGUUGAUCCUACUAUUGCUAGCAAUUUAAGGCAUCCCAUGAUGUACCAUUUUGCAGGGGGUUCCAUGAGAUAUAGAAAGUGAUGCAGGUCACCUUUGAUUUGGAAGCAUAAUCCAGUCUGCAUCCCAGCUCUUUCUCGUAUUAAGUUUCAUGCACUUCAUUAGAUUAAAUCACAUACGUUUGUGAUUCUGGUAGAUGGAAAGUGUUGUCAUUUUUUAAAAUUAUUUAGGUCGAAUGCCAGUAAUUUCCAAUGCAAUUUGUUUUUAAUUCAAGUCAUGAUGGUAACGUUUAUCGUAGGAAACAGAUUCUAUGCAUUUGAAGAUGUUGUUUUUUCUAUUAACAAAUGUUAAUAUGUUAGUUUUAUUAUGGUGUGGGUAGGACUAGAACCAUCAACCUCAACUCUCUCACUCCAUCCUCAAACCACCAAACCAAGUUUAUAUCUCUCUAUAUAAUGAUAUGGUCUAGUUUUGUCUUAGCAUUUAGGAGCUUUAAUCUACAUUCUAAUGUACAUAAUUUAUGGAGAUAUAUUAUUAUAUUUCUAUAUUGGCGGAGCUGUAGAGGUAGUAACUGCACAAACUCUCGGUACUUAAAUGAGUUAUUGAUAAUUUCAUACUGGACCGUAUGAAUUUAUUGAGGAACUUCACAGUUACUGAAUAUGAUUCCAUUUUGUAUGACUUCCAAAAUCAUAUUUUCUAAUUUGUACAAAUUUGCUUUAGUGGUUUUUCUUCAAUGAAGUUACAACAUAGCUACAGUUCAUUUAAAAUUAGCCAUCUUCUUCUUGUGUCGUCUAUAAGAAAAAUUGCACGGUUGACUUAAUAUAUCCUUGUUAUGGUUUUAUGGACAAUCUUUCUCGAUUAUUAUUAUUUGAUUGUGCAAUUGUGAAGUUGUUAUGAUCUGCUUGUGAUUAGUAUGUUCUUUUAUUUACCAAAAUUAUUUGAAUUCAUAACUAACUUGAUCGUCGGAGNUAAUAAUUAGUAUUCAAACCAAAUUAUAACAAAUUGCAAGAGCUUUGUCCUCGCCGGCCCAAAAUGCCUUUUUUCACUUUAAAUAUUUUUAGGUCCCAUCAUUGUUAAAUACUUGACUUUUAUUAAAACCUUUUUAAGUUUUAUAGGUGGGAUUAUAUGACUAUUAAACUGUUUAAAUUUCCAAUAGAUGAAGGGAAACAUUAAUGGCUUUUUAAAAUGAUUUCAUAGAAUCUGCACACAGAUGAUGUGUUUUUCCCUUUUAGCUUUUUCAACUUAUUUCUGAAAGGGUGGAUUGUUUGUGUAUAUGCCGUAUAGUUCAUAGUUAAGAUAUCAAUAUAGCAUAUUGAUAAAUAAGUGUAAUAUCUUAACUCAUAAGCACGAGCUUCAUGCACGCACCAAGUACUAGUCCGAUAAAUAAAUAUUAAUGUUGAUUUUCUGCUAUGAUGCAGGUUGGGCAAUACCCUCGGCAUCUCAUAAGUCUGUUCUUCAGGUUGCUCUAUCCAUGGUAUUGGCCAUCCUCUUGUUGGAACUUUGUGGUUUCGUGCAUUCAUGCUAUCUUUUACUCCUUACUGAGGUUGAUAUUUUCUACGUGGGAAAAAAUUGCCAAACCAAAAACACAGUAAAUGUCCAUAUGUCCUGAAGAUAUUGGAGUUCAUGCAUAGAACCCGGGUCAUCUCUUGCCAACCAGCACGAAUGCCUUCUCUGAUAUUUCUUUUUUCCACUCAAUGUGAUGUACAUAUCAUUUUUUGAAUUAAUAUGUACAAUUUUUAUCAGAGAAGGCAUAUUAUUCAGGUUCAUUCGUUCAUAUCAUUUUUUGAAUUAAUAUGUACAAUUUCUAUAAAAAUGUGAAGCCUUUUUUUGAUUUGAACAUUUUCUCACUCGUCUUAAUGACUUUUUGUUGGCUUUCUUGUAGUGAGCUUAUUUACUUUUCAAUGCUUACAUUGAUAAUGUUUUGUGGAUUUUGUAGGAGGAAAACUUGGAAGAGGUCAUUGCACUUACUGUGAUAUAACUGUUAAAUUGUUUGUCUCACACAUAUCUUUCAGAUGCAAAGGAUAAUACUGACAUUAUGAAUUUUGUUACAGGCCCCGCCCAGGGAGCAAGCGUAUGUGACAUUUUCAUUGUAUUAGAUUGUGUUGAUCCUACUAUUGCUAGCAAUUUAAGGCAUCCCAUGAUGUACCAUUUUGCAGGGGGUUCCAUGAGAUAUAGAAAGUGAUGCAGGUCACCUUUGAUUUGGAAGCAUAAUCCAGUCUGCAUCCCAGCUCUUUCUCGUAUUAAGUUUCAUGCACUUCAUUAGAUUAAAUCACAUACGUUUGUGAUUCUGGUAGAUGGAAAGUGUUGUCAUUUUUUAAAAUUAUUUAGGUCGAAUGCCAGUAAUUUCCAAUGCAAUUUGUUUUUAAUUCAAGUCAUGAUGGUAACGUUUAUCGUAGGAAACAGAUUCUAUGCAUUUGAAGAUGUUGUUUUUUCUAUUAACAAAUGUUAAUAUGUUAGUUUUAUUAUGGUGUGGGUAGGACUAGAACCAUCAACCUCAACUCUCUCACUCCAUCCUCAAACCACCAAACCAAGUUUAUAUCUCUCUAUAUAAUGAUAUGGUCUAGUUUUGUCUUAGCAUUUAGGAGCUUUAAUCUACAUUCUAAUGUACAUAAUUUAUGGAGAUAUAUUAUUAUAUUUCUAUAUUGGCGGAGCUGUAGAGGUAGUAACUGCACAAACUCUCGGUACUUAAAUGAGUUAUUGAUAAUUUCAUACUGGACCGUAUGAAUUUAUUGAGGAACUUCACAGUUACUGAAUAUGAUUCCAUUUUGUAUGACUUCCAAAAUCAUAUUUUCUAAUUUGUACAAAUUUGCUUUAGUGGUUUUUCUUCAAUGAAGUUACAACAUAGCUACAGUUCAUUUAAAAUUAGCCAUCUUCUUCUUGUGUCGUCUAUAAGAAAAAUUGCACGGUUGACUUAAUAUAUCCUUGUUAUGGUUUUAUGGACAAUCUUUCUCGAUUAUUAUUAUUUGAUUGUGCAAUUGUGAAGUUGUUAUGAUCUGCUUGUGAUUAGUAUGUUCUUUUAUUUACCAAAAUUAUUUGAAUUCAUAACUAACUUGAUCGUCGGAGUUUUUGCAGGUACCACACCUUUGGUGUGUCAUGCUAUGCUCAUGAGUAUGAUGAAACAGAAAGGAAAUGCAACAUCUUAAAAACAUGGUAGGAAGUUUACCUUUGAUUUGAGCUGCUGGCCAUGCUUAACAGUCCGGUCUUCAACCGAGCUGAGUGAAUGAGAUUCAUUGACAUGGGGGGCCUUCUGAAACUUGAUUUUACUUAUAAAUGUCAUGUUUUUAUUGGUAAUGUAUCUUAUGUUUCAUGUUUCAUGAUAAGAUUUCAUUCACGAAUCGGAAAAUAGUUCUUUUGAUUUAGGAUUUGAAUCUCAAUUUGAUAAUCAUGCCAACAAUUGAAUGGAAUACAUAACAAUGGAAUUCACAACUAAUUAAUGUGUAUUUAAAUCUAAAUAAGGGGUGAUAACCUUUUUUUCUGCAUAGGGGGGAUGGGGAAUACAUGUCUUUUCUCUUUUUUAUUUGCAAAACAAAUUACCAAAUGUCGAUUUUCUUUAUUCACAAUGGCAGAUGUAAUUUUCAACAAGGAAGAAGAUGUCAUUUCUCCGGAAAAUGAUGUCAUUGAUGGUCCGCUGUGUUUCUAUGAUGUGCUUGCUGAUUACUUUGUACAUGUGCCUGAAAGUGGGAAGCCCGUCCUUGACUUGAUUGUCCAACUUUGGAGCCAGUCAUUUGCUUCACAUAUUUUUAGCCUCUUGUUUCACAAAUGGGUAUGUAAGCUUGUCUCUGCCAUAUUGUCUUUUGCUCUCUUGAGGGAAGUUUUACUUAGCUUGAUAGUAUUAGUAUGGUCAUCCAUUACUGGUUUUGAAUUUGAACAUUUACAAUUCUAAAAAAAAGUGAGUCGUCUUAAUGGCAUGGUUACAUUCUGACAAAUAUGAACAUCCUCAAAUUGACUAAUGAUAUUCUGAGGCAUACCUGAUUAUGGCUAUAUAUUCCUUUUUCUCUUAGCUGGUUAUAGAGUGGGUGGCAAUUCCCCAUUUCACUUGACUAACAAUAUGUAUAACCUUUUUCUCUUAGUUGGUUAUAGAGUGGGUGGCAAUUCCCGAUUUCACUUGACUACCAUUUCUUCUUGUUCAUUCAAAUUUUGAAAUGCUUAUGAGUAUUUAGAACCUUCAUCAACGGUUUCUAAAAUUCAUUCUUUUCCUGAUAUUGGUACAAAAUUUCUGUCUACUAGUAGUAUAGCACCUAUUUUGUCAAAUGCUUGAAAUAGGUUUCAGAUUUAAUCCUUGGGAACCAGUGCAUACUAUUGUAAAUAUGUAGUAUGUAAGAUAAGUGACAUAUAUAGUAUAAUUAUUUCAUUUUGAUAAUGUGAGUGGUAUAUAUGAUACUAUUAUGUAUAAAUGAAAUGAGUGCUGAUAUAUAUAUAUAUAUAUAUAUAUAUAUAUAUAUAUAUAUAUAUAUAUAUAUAUNNNNNNNNNNNNNNNNNNNNNNNNNNNNNNNNNNNNNNNNNNNNNNNNNNNNNNNNNNNNNNNNNNNNNNNNNNNNNNNNNNNNNNNNNNNNNNNNNNNNNNNNNNNNNNNNNNNNNNNNNNNNNNNNNNNNNNNNNNNNNNNNNNNNNNNNNNNNNNNNNNNNNNNNNNNNNNNNNNNNNNNNNNNNNNNNNNNNNNNNNNNNNNNNNNNNNNNNNNNNNNNNNNNNNNNNNNNNNNNNNNNNNNNNNNNNNNNNNNNNNNNNNNNNNNNNNNNNNNNNNNNNNNNNNNNNNNNNNNNNNNNNNNNNNNNNNNNNNNNNNNNNNNNNNNNNNNNNNNNNNNNNNNNNNNNNNNNNNNNNNNNNNNNNNNNNNNNNNNNNNNNNNNNNNNNNNNNNNNNNNNNNNNNNNNNNNNNNNNNNNNNNNNNNNNNNNNNNNNNNNNNNNNNNNNNNNNNNNNNNNNNNNNNNNNNNNNNNNNNNNNNNNNNNNNNNNNNNNNNNNNNNNNNNNNNNNNNNNNNNNNNNNNNNNNNNNNNNNNNNNNNNNNNNNNNNNNNNNNNNNNNNNNNNNNNNNNNNNNNNNNNNNNNNNNNNNNNNNNNNNNNNNNNNNNNNNNNNNNNNNNNNNNNNNNNNNNNNNNNNNNNNNNNNNNNNNNNNNNNNNNNNNNNNNNNNNNNNNNNNNNNNNNNNNNNNNNNNNNNNNNNNNNNNNNNNNNNNNNNNNNNNNNNNNNNNNNNNNNNNNNNNNNNNNNNNNNNNNNNNNNNNNNNNNNNNNNNNNNNNNNNNNNNNNNNNNNNNNNNNNNNNNNNNNNNNNNNNNNNNNNNNNNNNNNNNNNNNNNNNNNNNNNNNNNNNNNNNNNNNNNNNNNNNNNNNNNNNNNNNNNNNNNNNNNNNNNNNNNNNNNNNNNNNNNNNNNNNNNNNNNNNNNNNNNNNNNNNNNNNNNNNNNNNNNNNNNNNNNNNNNNNNNNNNNNNNNNNNNNNNNNNNNNNNNNNNNNNNNNNNNNNNNNNNNNNNNNNNNNNNNNNNNNNNNNNNNNNNNNNNNNNNNNNNNNNNNNNNNNNNNNNNNNNNNNNNNNNNNNNNNNNNNNNNNNNNNNNNNNNNNNNNNNNNNNNNNNNNNNNNNNNNNNNNNNNNNNNNNNNNNNNNNNNNNNNNNNNNNNNNNNNNNNNNNNNNNNNNNNNNNNNNNNNNNNNNNNNNNNNNNNNNNNNNNNNNNNNNNNNNNNNNNNNNNNNNNNNNNNNNNNNNNNNNNNNNNNNNNNNNNNNNNNNNNNNNNNNNNNNNNNNNNNNNNNNNNNNNNNNNNNNNNNNNNNNNNNNNNNNNNNNNNNNNNNNNNNNNNNNNNNNNNNNNNNNNNNNNNNNNNNNNNNNNNNNNNNNNNNNNNNNNNNNNNNNNNNNNNNNNNNNNNNNNNNNNNNNNNNNNNNNNNNNNNNNNNNNNNNNNNNNNNNNNNNNNNNNNNNNNNNNNNNNNNNNNNNNNNNNNNNNNNNNNNNNNNNNNNNNNNNNNNNNNNNNNNNNNNNNNNNNNNNNNNNNNNNNNNNNNNNNNNNNNNNNNNNNNNNNNNNNNNNNNNNNNNNNNNNNNNNNNNNNNNNNNNNNNNNNNNNNNNNNNNNNNNNNNNNNNNNNNNNNNNNNNNNNNNNNNNNNNNNNNNNNNNNNNNNNNNNNNNNNNNNNNNNNNNNNNNNNNNNNNNNNNNNNNNNNNNNNNNNNNNNNNNNNNNNNNNNNNNNNNNNNNNNNNNNNNNNNNNNNNNNNNNNNNNNNNNNNNNNNNNNNNNNNNNNNNNNNNNNNNNNNNNNNNNNNNNNNNNNNNNNNNNNNNNNNNNNNNNNNNNNNNNNNNNNNNNNNNNNNNNNNNNNNNNNNNNNNNNNNNNNNNNNNNNNNNNNNNNNNNNNNNNNNNNNNNNNNNNNNNNNNNNNNNNNNNNNNNNNNNNNNNNNNNNNNNNNNNNNNNNNNNNNNNNNNNNNNNNNNNNNNNNNNNNNNNNNNNNNNNNNNNNNNNNNNNNNNNNNNNNNNNNNNNNNNNNNNNNNNNNNNNNNNNNNNNNNNNNNNNNNNNNNNNNNNNNNNNNNNNNNNNNNNNNNNNNNNNNNNNNNNNNNNNNNNNNNNNNNNNNNNNNNNNNNNNNNNNNNNNNNNNNNNNNNNNNNNNNNNNNNNNNNNNNNNNNNNNNNNNNNNNNNNNNNNNNNNNNNNNNNNNNNNNNNNNNNNNNNNNNNNNNNNNNNNNNNNNNNNNNNNNNNNNNNNNNNNNNNNNNNNNNNNNNNNNNNNNNNNNNNNNNNNNNNNNNNNNNNNNNNNNNNNNNNNNNNNNNNNNNNNNNNNNNNNNNNNNNNNNNNNNNNNNNNNNNNNNNUAUAUAUAUAUAUAUAAAUAUGCCUAUUGUUGGUUGGUUCAGAGGUAUCUGGUGCUGAACUUGGUAGGGUGGAUUACGAUCCAAUCCCCCACAACUGCAAAUUGGGUUAAAUAAAAGGGGUUACACCAACUUAUGUACCAGAGCCCCAUGCUCAAGAUCAUAAUCACUAACCGGUCACUUUACUAUGAGUAUGUACGGAUAACGGGCUUAAUGUGAUUGCACCUGAAUGAAAAGGACUUGAAGAAAACGAAAAGAAGGCCUAAGUAUGGUGGGGUAAUGUAGAUUGAUUUGUAGAAACCGCUUGGACCCUCCUUCUCUAUGGUAAUGUUCCAUUCUGGUUCUGGGGGAUAUUAUGCUAAUAUGGCAUGUUACCUUAUGAAUCUCAUGCCCUCGUCUGUCCUUAACAACAAUAUCCCUCACUUAAUUUUGUUAUUUCCUUAUUCCCCCUUCACCCAAUUCCUCCUCGUGUCUUCGAGUCUACAAUAUUUGUUAAAGUAAAUGCUCGUGACGGUGACGGUACCGGUGAUCAAUCAUGGUUCUCUUUCUCUCUCUUCCAGGUUACUCCUACCCUAUCUCAUAUCGAAACACUGGGGACAAUAUUCGAUUUAAGUGUGAGAGGAGAUUUUUAUCGUUUUUAUUGCUUUUCUUUAUUUUUAGUAUGUUUUGUGCAUUUUUAGUUGUUUGCUUUUCAUUUCAAUAAAAUAACAUGUGUUUGAUGAGUCAUCUGUGUAGUGUAUCCGUAUUUCUCCCUUUUCUUUAAACUUACCAAAAUAAUUAUGAGAAAAGAAAACAGUGCAUCUUGAAUAUUCAGGACAUAAGACAGGUUUAUGACGGGAUGUAAAAGACUUGGAAAAACUUUUUCUAAAAAUCGGUAUUGUCUUAACACCGUAGGCUUCAUGAUUACAAGAGUCGAUCCCGAUAUCCCAUAUGCUGUGACCCCAAUUUUUGUUCCAAAUAAGUCCUUAAGUAGUUUAUCCUUGCAGUCAGCUCCGGCUUAAGCAUGCUCUACGUAGGGGACCGAUGAAAAUAAGUGAAUGAUCACAAAAAAAAUUCCUGCUUUGUUCUCAAGUCAUAUGAAAAUUCGGGCUAGGUGACUCUCACACGGUCAUUUAACCCAGUAAAAUAAAGACAUAUGCGAAACAUGCAGAAGAAAAAAAUAAAAUGAAAUAUAUAUAUGCCUAUUGUAAGUUGGUUCAGAGGUAUCUGGUGCUGAACUUGGUAGGGUGGAUUACGAUCCAAUCCCCCACAACUGCAAAUUGGGUUAAAUAAAAGGGGUUACACCAACUUAUGUACUAGAGCCCCAUGCUUAAGAUCAUAAUCACUAACCGGUCACUUUACUAUGAGUAUGUACGGAUAACGGGCUUAAUGUGAUUGCACCUGAAUGAAAAGGACUUGAAGAAAACAAAAAGAAGCCUACGAUCGCAUUAUCCCACCAUAAGUCUUUUUGCCUUGAGUUAACUCUAGUUGAUACUGUUUUACUUGCAUAAACUAUAAAGAGUUUUGCUUGAGGACAAACAAAGGUUUAAGUGUGGGAGAAUUUGAUCACACUGAAUCACACCGUAUUUUUGACUCGGAUUUCACAUGUUUAGUAGGACUUUAUUAUCAUUUUAUUUGUAUUAUGCUCUCUUUUAUGUUGUUUUCAGAUAUUUAGCUCUUUCGGGACACUUUUAGAAAAAACAAAGCAAAAAAACCAAAAUGAGGGUUUUUCGGCAAAUAUUGUACACAUGGCGUUGCACAUGGCGACCGCUAUAGGAGAAACCAUUACUCAUCAGCCCUCAACCAGGAGGUAAUCCGUCACAUCGGGGGGUUAUCUCACUUUAGUGAGAUUGAGUUGGGUCAUUUUUUAUUUUAUUGCUUUUAUUUAUUUUACUUGUCUUGCUUUAUUUUAUUUAAUUUCUGUAUCGCUUUACUUUAUUUAAUUUCUUUCUACGCUUUACUUUAUUUAAUUUCUGUCUACGCUUUACUUUAUUUAAUUUCUGUCCACGCUUUAAUCGUUCUUUACGCCUUACAUUCUAAAACAACUUUUCAUCAUGAUCAAUAUUGUUGUGUUUGUUGGUAUUACCAUGUCUGACUAAAUCUUUUAAAAGUUAGAAUGU
This 49163-nucleotide long non-coding RNA is filed under the name Lathyrus oleraceus (garden pea). RNAcentral's name for it is "Pisum sativum (pea) long non-coding RNA (PSAT_LNC031877)". The record is from RNAcentral. Lineage: Eukaryota; Viridiplantae; Streptophyta; Magnoliopsida; Fabales; Fabaceae.